CAUCAUCCCAUUCCAUCCUCCCUCUCUCGUCUCGCUCUCGUCGUCGUCGUCGGUUUUCCUCGACCCCUAACCUUACUUUAGAUGACCCCAGCGAGGUCUUGAGUCACGUGAGGAAAAUUUGCAGGAAUGGUGGUGUGUUUUCGAGCGUCGGCGAUGCCCACCGUUGCUUCGGUGCAAUGAUGAAGACGGACCCUUUGCCUUCCCCCAUGGAUUUCAGUCUUCUGUUGGGUGCUGUAGUGAGGAUGAAGCACUACUCCACUGCCAUCCGCUUGAUUGAGCAGCUGCAUUCGUUAGGGGUUGAAGAUAAUCAUUAUUGGCUGACGAUUUCCCUGAAUUGCUUCUGUCGGUUAGAGAGGGUCGAUUUGGGUUUGUCUAUCCUGGGCAGAAUCUUGAAGCUUGGGUUUCCCAUCACUGUGGUGGCAACGAGUACCUUAAUUGAUGGUCUCUUUAUUCAGGGCAAAACUGAUCAAGCACUGAGGUUCCUCGAUGAUAUGGGACGAAAUGGCCCCGAACCUAAUGAGACCACGUAUGCAAUAAUCGCAAAGGGGUUAUGCAGGGCUGGUAACACCAGAUUGGCGAUUGAAUUUCUGAGGGACUGGGAAGAGAGAGGCUGCAGGCUCCAUUCCUUCACAUACAACAUAGUAAUUGAUGGUCUUUGCAAGGAGGGAUUGAUCACUGAGGCCUUGAGACUCCACAAAAGCAUGAGCAAGAAAGGUAUCAAACCAGAUGUUGUUACUUAUAACUCCUUGAUCCACGGUCUGUGCAAUGUAGGCCAGAUGGAAGAUGCUCUCGUAUUGUUGAAACAGAUGACGAGCGGAGGCAUCCAACCCGACAGAUUCACUUAUAGCUCCUUGGUUCAUUGCUUAUGCAACCGAGGCCAAUGGAAAGAUGCUAUGGUCUUGUCAGAGAAGAUGAUGAAGGCAGGAAUCGAACCGGACGUCGUUACUUAUACCUCUGUCAUUCAAGGAGUUUGCAAUUCCGGCCAUUUGGAAGAGGCUCGAAGACUGCUGAGUCAUAUGGUGCAAAGCAGAGUCAUGCCUAAGGUUCUAACCUUCAGCAUCCUGGUGGAUGCACAUUGUAAAGAGGGACUGCUUGUAGAGGCAGAGGCCAUAGUCGACCAGAUGAUUCAAUUAGGUAAAAUGCCUAAUAGUGUCACUUAUAAUGCAUUGUUGAAUGGUUAUUGUUUGCAAAAUAGGAUGAAAAAAGCAAUGGAAGUGCUUAAUUUGAUGGUUGAAAGAGGCUGCUCACCUACUGUUGUUACUUAUAACACAUUGAUUAACGGACACUGCAAAGUGAAAAGAAUGGACAAGUCAAAGAUGCUUUUCCAAGAAAUGCUUCAAAGGGGCCUGAUUCCUGAUGUCAUCACAUACAACACUCUCGUAAAUGGAUUUUGCCUGGUUGGGAACCUUGAAGCUGCAGAGGAGUUAAUUAACGAGAUGCAGUCUCGCGGUCUAUCUCCAAAUCAUUAUACCUUGAGUGCUUUACUCGAUGGCUUAUGUAAAAUGCAGCAGAUUGGCAAGGCCUUGAUAUUGCUUCGAAAGAUGGAAGAAUCCAAAUUCAUCCUAGACAUCGUGACUUACAGUAUCCUAAUAAAUGGCAUGUGUAAUGCCGGAAAGCUCGACGAUGCAAGAGGGCUGUUUGAUUGUUUGCAUGCUCGAGGGUUGCAACCUAAUGUGUGGACGUAUAAUAUUCUCAUGCGUGGAUUGUGCAAAGGAGGAUGCAUGGAGGAAGCAUAUCGGCUGCUAAAGGAGAUGCAAGAAAAUGGAUGCCUUCCAGAUGGUGUCACUUAUAACACAAUCAUCCAAGGACUACUAAGUGAUAACGAAAAUACGAGAGCAGUGCAACUUGUUGGUGAAAUGGUUGAAAGGGGUUUUUCUGCAGACUUAGCAACGAUGGAGUUGUGGGUUAAAUAUCUCUUGACAAAUGGAGCUCCUUCAUUUUCUAGUUGAACUCUCCAUUGUGUGUGAGAUCUGUCCUCUUUUUCAUCUGAAAUUUGAUGGAGAGCACGCCAGAUUAACAGCAGGUUUUCUUCCAGACAUCACCUCCUUGAGUCGCAUGUCCUGUUAAUGAAGUUGUUUUAAGUCUGGGAGAUUUUUACUCUUGCUUGAUUAUCAGGCUUUUGGAGGGGUGGAAGGUUGAUUUUGCUUUUCGUAUGCCUAGGUUUUGCAAGAAAUCUCUGUAUUUAACUGGUAGAUGUACUUGUGGGUUAGUGCUUCUGGUGCCUACUAUUUAUCAAACAGGUCAAAUUCAUAUGAAUGAUCAAGUGGUGUGAGGAUGCUCUCAAAUUAAAUCAAUGUUAAUAGCAAUAACUUUACUGUGUACCAUAUGCAAUUCAGACAUUAUAGACAAGUAUCAUGGACCUCUUCCUCAAUGGGACUAAAGAAACAAUUUUUUUUUUUUCAGGGUGUAAUGUCUGUGCUUUGAGAUAGAGAUACUGGUUGUCUUUUAUUUUCUUUUCCUAACACCUCUGACCCCUUCAUUGUCUUAUUUACCAUAGUUUUUCAAAGAAGAUGCACGGGUGGAAGUGGAUGGUAUAUGAUCAUGGUGAUGGGCACUUUGAAUCAAUAGCAGUGAAUACUUGUGGUGGGCUGGGUACUCAGAUUGUUAUGCAGGUCGAUUACAUAUUUGGGUUAUUUGCUCUGCUUCUCAUAGCAAAGUUUGAUGGACGGCUUGCUGACUAAGGAACAUGGCUGCAACUGUAUGGAAACAACUUUCAGUAUCUUUUCCUUUGCACUGUGAGGGAUUUUCCAAAAAGCAUCUGUUGAUGUGUGAACUUGAAUGCCGCUGACAGACAUUGCCAAUGCCAAACCACAUUGACGUCUCGAGUGGCACCAAUCAACUUCAUUACAAACAGGCCCAUAGGAUUUAACUUUCUUUCGUUUUCUAUAGAGGUAAAUUCAUUGCCAGUUUUCUGUUUUAUUAACAGACGAACAAAUGUUUUGGUUUGUUUUUGCAUGUUUCACUCACAGCUGCAGGAUUUGCCUGGACAGUCUCGUUACCCCCUCUACUGUGUCUUGACACAAAUAUAAUAAUAGUAGCGUGCAAGCAAAUAAUUGUUUAGUGCGGUGUCAGGAUGCUCUUGAGUUAAGUUGAUGUUAAUGGAGAUACAUUUACUUUGUACCAAAGAUCUGCAAUGCAGACAUUAUGCACCAAUAUCAGGGACCUAUAUAUAUAGUGGUGCGAGGAUGCUCUUGAUUCAUAUAGAGGUUAAUAGCAAUAACUCUUCUAUGUACUAAAGUGAUGCAAUUCAGACGUUAUGGACUAUUAUUAUCGAACUCUUCCUCAAUAUGGAACCAAAGAAAACAAUUGUAUUUUCGGUUGGUCAACAAAUUGUGUCACAAAUCCUGAUCUGCCAUGUAUGCGCUUUUAGAGAGAUAUUAGUUUCCUUGUGUACUCUUUUCCUACCACAAUCUGUUCCCCUUCGAUAUCCUAGUUGCCAUGGUUGCUAUUUCAGAGAAGAUGCAUGUGUGGAAGCGGAUGAUAUUCGAUCAUGGUGAUGGGCACUUUGAAUCAAUUGCAGAAGACAUUUGUGGCGAGCUGGGUACCCAGAUUAUCAUUGCAGGUCGAUCACAUAUUUGGGUUAUUUUCUCUGCUUCUUACAUGCAAAUAAUGGCCAAGUUUGAGGGACGGCUUGCUGACUACAUGGCUGCAAGUGUAUUAAAACUACUUGCAGUAUCUUUUACUUUGCACUGCGGGGGAUUUUCGGAAAGGCAUCUGCUAACGGGGGAACAAGAGCGCCAUUGACAGGCCAUUCCAAAUGCCGAACCGCAUAGACAUCUUGAGCGACACCAUUCAACUUCAUCAAAGUCAGGCCUGGAUGAUUUGACUUUCCACUGUCUUUUCCGCAGCAUCAAUUGAAUUCCUUGCCAUUGGCAUUUGUCUCAGUUACUGACUUGGGAACACAAAUUUUUGUUUGUCUAUGCGUGUUUCACUUUCGACGGCAGGAGUUGCCUUGCUAGUCUGCCUCUCGUCACACCUUCUACACUUUGUGUUCUGUCGCAAUCAUAGUAGCGUUCAAGCGUUUCGGAGACCGUUCUUUGAGCUUAGUCUAGGUGCAGCUUAGUCUAGGUGCGGAUAUUGUAGCCGACAUGAUCAAUUGAACUCAGAAAAUAGUAACUUGUCAAGCAAAGUGUUCAAGUCGAAGUUCUGCAAAUAUACCAGGGGGAGGGAGCUUUGGACAAUGAUUCUUGCAAUCAUUGACCGAAGAAGGGAGGAAGCAAUUGAAGCUUCCCCUGCUGAAGUGUGCGGAGAGUGGGAGGGAUGGUGGUGGUGUUGUCUGAGACAGGAAGGACGAUGGAGUCGCCUAUGUGCAGGUGGGAAGGAAGAGACUUGAGGGACAUGGACAUGGACGAACCCACCUCCCUAUGUGAACAUUGGUUUGCUAGAUAUACCGCUCCAUCCCAUCCUAUUCGCUCCUCUCGACCCUCUCUUUCUCUAGUUCUCUCGGACAGAGCCCUUCUCGACGAAGGAGACAACCCUGACUCUUUUGGCUUUGGCCAAUCCUUUUCUAACUCGAUCGAGCUCUGUCAACGAGAUCAUAGCUAGAUCUAAACUUGAACACGGCUAACUCCACAAAGGAGCCAAAUCUGAAGUGAAUGAUUUUGACCAUAAUAAAUUAUAAUUUGAAUUCAUAUGAUUACAAUAGACAGAGCAAAAUCACGAAUUAGAAGUACCUUGAGCCACAAUGUAGCAUAAGGGACAAAGAAGCUAGAUAUACCUGAAGAAUGGAACGAAGGCCCUCUAAGGAGAGAGUAACAAAUAAUUCAUUAAGAGAAGCCUCUAUGGUAGUAGGCGUGGCAAAUGGAUGUGCACGUGAAUUAUGACUCCGGGAUUGAUUUUUUAGCUUGAUGGGUCUAAAGUAAUUGAAUGCCACGUUGGUGACAAUGCUUACAAAAUUUUUCCAUCAUAUGUGCUAUAUUGGCCAAAACAGAGCAAUUUGUAUAAACUAUGUGAAGAAAUCGAUACUUGAAAAGCAUAUAUGCAGACAAUAAGGUAAAAAUGGACUCAGCAUGCCGAAAGACCUUCGUAAUUGAUCUAGCCAUGAACUUGGCUAAAAUUAGUCGAACUGGUGAAAGACAAUCCUAGAAGUAGUCGGUUGAUUUGAUUGAACUGAUCAAUGAUUGGUCAACAUAGGUCGACGAUCAACUAUCGAUCAAUGGUCAGGCUGGCGUGGACUAAUGAUGUGGCCAAAAAACUAACAUGAUGGAGAUAACGUGUCAAUGACAUCAUCACUAGCGGUCCACCACUAGUCACUGCUUGGCACGUGAGGUGAUGACAUCAGUUUUCUAAUACAGAUCGUCUAGAUUUCACGUGUAAAAGCUUCUGAUGCUACGUAACAUGACAAAAGGUGAGGUGGUUGCUAGGAUCUAUCUUGUUAGAGGACGGCAGUUGAUAACGGCAUAGGAGAAGGCAGCCGAUUCCAUUUGAAUGCGUCAAGUUCGGUGAUGGUAUUCGUUUUCCAAACGAUUAGUUGAAGCAUGUCAGACAACUAGGGGAUGUUGCAAACUAGCUAAGAAAUGUAGCUGGGAUGGUUGGCAUUAUUACGAACACCUUGGGAAAAGCAACCCAUGCAGCUAGUGUUAUUACGAAACAUACUUGAUGGUUCUAAUGCCAAGUUGAGAAUUGUGAAGAACCGGAAAAUUUACUGCUAAAACUUCACAAAUGCUCAUCGUGUCUACAAAUUAUCCAUCACUUAAGAGCUUUGGAUACUAUAAUUCGUCUAAAUGAUGUUACGAGGGAAAAUUACUAAAAAAGUCAUAAAUUUAUUAUAAUUUUGCAAGUUUAGUCCUAAUUUUUUUUUUUGUUAAUUCAGUCAUAGAUCUUUUUCAUUUGUGUCAAUUCAGUCAAUCCUACAAUUUUAGCCAGUCGGCAUUAACAUUACAUUUUUUAGAUAAUUUUUGAAUUCUUUAAUUUUUAUCUUUUAUCUUUUAUUUUAAAAAAAAAAUCCCCCCUUCCCCUUCCCUUAGGGUCGAUGAGGAUCACCAGCCAACCCUCACUGGCUAGGGUGCGAGUAUGUUGCCCCUCGCUUAGAUCUAGCAAGGGCCAUGACACCCUCACCCGAUUUAGCCUAGCAAGGACACUGCGGCCCUUGCCCAAACAAGGCGAGGGCUGCAACUGCCUUGCUUAAUUUGGGCGAGCGAGGCAGCAAGGCCCUAAGUAAAGGAGAAGAGGACAACAUUAAAGAAAAGAAAAUUACAAAAAUUUUCAAAAAAUUAUUAAAAUAUUAUUUAAAAAGUACCAAGUUGACGCUAGUUGGGCAAAAUUGACCAAAUUGAUUGAACAAGUGUAAAUGCAAAAGUUUUAAGUCUGAAUUGGGAAAAAGUUUAAGACGGAAUUAAUACAAUUGCAAUAUAUUUAAGAUUUUUUUUUUAUAUUUCUCCCAAUGUUAUGAUGAUAUAACAAUCAAUGACAACCGACAAAAGAUCUCUAUGACAUGUUUUUUUGCCAAAAUAACCAAAGAUAAUUGUUAGUCAAAGUUGUUUAAUCUUUGAAAUCUGCAAUCAAUUAGAAUGGAAGAGCUAGCAUAAGUAAUUUCUGGGUCAUCUCCAACAGCAAAUGGAUUGCAUUCUGAUCCUUGUAGAUGGAGCUUAGGUGCAUUUUGGACCUUACACGUCUUUCAUCAAUUGCAAGAAGUUGUGUGCGUAAAUGCUUAGUGCAUUGCUUGUCAAGAAGAUAAAAGGAAAAAGAUUAACCUCUUCGCAGGAGCCCCAAACUACAGUUACAACAAAACCAAUACUUAGGGAGGAAAUUUAUAAAUUAAACCACCACUAGUCAAAAUCAUGUGAAAUCUCGUCUGUAUGUAUUUUUUUUCCUUUUCUUUUUUUCUUUUCUUAAAUUUCCUCCUUCGUUUUCUUCUUGGGUUUGGCAAGAUGAUGAUAGUGGCAAUGAUGACGGAAAUGGCAGCGGUAAAGAUGGAAGAGGAGGGAUAAAAGGAAAAAUAAUUUUAAAGGAUGACAAAUGUACGUUGUUUUUAGGAGAUUUUUGAUAUCAUAAAAAAAAAAUUGGAAUAAACGUGUCGAUUUUUUUAUUUUGUGGUUAUUAUCCAAAAUUAAAAGCUGAAUAAAGUUAAAAGAAACGGACUGUUCGAUUAUGUCUUCCCAUGUCGUCUUCUCCUUCUCCUUCUCCUUCUCCUUCUUCCAAAGCAAAAUGGCCGUUGGACAUCUUCCUCAACUUCAGAGGCGGGGACGUCUGCCACGGCUUCCUCGCUGACCUCCACUGGACUCUGCUUCACAGCGGCAUCAACGCCUACAUCAACAGCGAGGUCUUGAGCAUCAUCACAAAGAUCUCCAUUAUAGUAGGACAAGUACCCUUGAGUGUUGCCAAGCAUCCCGCUCGGUGUAGGCUGCCGGGUAGAGAAAGUUAUAUCAUUGUUAAGUACAUGCUUGGAUGAGGUUCGGAUGAUAGGAAUAAGGGAAGCAGGAGGUAUAGGGAAGACCACCAUCGCUAAAGCUGUCCAUGACAGUAUCACUAGUCAGUUUGAUGAGUGCAGCUUUCUUGCAAAUGUUAGAGAAACUUCCAGUAGACCUGACGCGUGGUUCAUUUGCAAAAACACUCUUAUCUGAGAUAUUGUUGAAAGAAAAUUUAGUGGUCUUAAGUGUGGAUGGAGGCGUUAACCUGAUAUGAGAUAGACUUUGUUACGGGAAGAUUCUGCUUGUGCUUGAUGAUGUGGAUCAUGGGGACCAGUUAAAUGCAUUAGCUAGAGAAUGUAAAUGGUUUGGAAAAGGUAGCGGGAUCAUUAUUACGAUUAGAGAUAAACAUGUACUAACUUCUCACGGGAUGGAUCAGGUAUAUGAAGUUAAAGCGUUAGAUCAAGGUGGAGCUUUUGAACUUCUAAGUUCAUAUGCUUUUCCAAAAAACCAAAUACAAGACAUAAGCAGGGAUCUCAUAGAUGUAUUUUGGGCUAUGCUAAUGGUCUUCCCUUAGCGAUUGUGGUCUUUGGUCCCUUUUUAUUUAGCAGAAUUAGAGGGGAAUGGGAGAGUACAUUGGGUAAACUUGCUAAAAGUCCUAAUAAAGAUAUAAACAGUGUUAUGAAGAUAAGUUUUGAUUAGCUGGUGGACGAUGAGGAGGACAUUUUCCUCGACAUUGCUUGUUUCUUUAAGGGGAGGGAUAGUGAUUAUAUAACCAGAGUUCUUGAUAGUUGUGGUUUAAAGACAUUAGUUGAGAUUCAGAUGCUAAUUGAGAGAUCUUUAAUAACCAUUGAGAAUCAGAGAACAGUACAAAUGUGUUGAAUUAUGUCUCAAGUUUGAAUCCAUUAUACGAUACCCGAUACGCGCAAAACAUUUUCACGUUGAAACGAGGAAGAACGUCAGCGAAGCAUUUAAUUAAAAUUAAGGAGCGUGCGAUAGGAGCCGAAAAAGAUCCAACCCUUGGCGUUGGAAAUAAAGUCUUCAAUCCAUGGGAUUCUUCUCAUUUGUCAGCAUAAAAUCUGAAGGGGUGAUCGUCCAAAUUCUUCUACGUUAUUAAAUGCAUGCACAUGGCCAUGUGCAUGCAUGCUUGUAGAAGAAUUGGUUGGUCAACACUUGCUGCUUCUGAAGCUAUCUCGUAGGCGCCCAAUUUUCUUCUCUUCUUGGUCAUCUUUGUGGACUUCUUUCGUCUUGUUGCGGAUAAAGGAGAGAAGGCAGAAGCUCUUCUACGUGUGUCAGUACACGCUGCUCAGUUCACACGCUAACAUUAAAUGCAUGGAGGCACAUACUUUGAAGAUCGGUGCCUUCUGACAAUUCUGGAGUACAAUAUUAUUUUGUUUCCUUCUCUUCCACCGAUAAAAAGGAGAAGACGUCUGGAGCUUGAUAAGCUGCAAAAGAAAAGAGCUUCGUAGUGAGCGAGAGAAAAGAGCUCGAGAGAGAGAGAGAGUGCGAGGCUUGAGCUCAGAGAGGUUUUGUGCGGAAGUUGAGUCCAUUGAUUUGUUUUGUUAAACACCGUGGGUAUCGGGUAUAAAGUAGGGCUGAGAAACACUUGAGUGCAUAUGUGAUUGUAAUCCUGUAAUUCUCCGAUUUAUAGUGGAUUGAUUUGCUGGCUCUCCCCGUGGACGUAGGUUCCGACAUUCAAACCGAACCACGUAAAUUUCCGGUGUCCUUUUGUUCCUCGUUUUAUUUCGAUCGAUUUCUAUAGCUCCCGACAUAGUGCAAAAUAUACGAUCCGCUUCCACUGCGACGCUGAUUCAUUACAACAAAAUGCAUGACUUGAUUCAGCUGAUGGGUCGGGAUAUCAUUAAACAAGAGUGUCCAAACGAUCCUGGGAAACGGACUAGAUUAUGGUGCUACGAUGAUAUUUUUGAAGUUUUGUUGGACGACACAGUGAGAACUUCUUAUGAAACCAUUGAUAAUCUUAUCUGCCUUAAUUUACAUGCUAUAACCUAAAUGGGUUGGGUAAUAAUGAUCAUUAUUUUUACCUCAAUAGGGAACCAAUGCUGUUAAGGGCAUAGUGCUGGACUAGCCAACACAAGAAGAGCUAGACAUCAGUCCCAGUGCUUUCACCCAUAUGAGGAGACCGAGAUUGCUCAUAGUUCUGGAUGCACAAAGUAGCAGAGGUCCCAUAUGUUUUCCUGACGAUUUAAGGUGGCUUGAAUGGACUGAAUAUCCUUUUAGAACUCUCAAGUUUAGUGCUGGGGUAUAGAAACUUGUUUAUUGUGAUGUGCAUAACAUCUAGAUUAAAGAAUUGGGCGGGAACUUAAACGUACCUGAUACAAGCUUUCCUUGAUGGUUUUCAUUUUAGGUGCCUCUAACAAAGUGAAAUUGAUCAGAAUCUCAUUCAGCUGCUCUUUUCAAUUUGCAGCAUUUCAGAAAUCUGAAGUUCCUGAAUUUCAGCCGCUGUAAGUCAUUGAUUAGUGUUCCAGACUUCUCAGAGGGGAUUUGGAGACAAUGAACUUAAGUAGGUGCUCAAAUCUCAAGGAGCUUCCAAGAAAACUGAAGCUAAAAUACCUUCAAACACUUGACGUAAUUAGCUGCUCUAAACCUGAUAAGUGUCCUGAUAUUGAUGAGAUGGAGAGCUUGACAAAACUUAAUUUAUCUCAGACUUCUACAAAAGAACUUCCUAUGUCAUCUGAAAAACUAGUCUAUGUUAAGGUUUUCUUCUGAAUUCGUGCAAUUGUCUUAUCAGUCUUCCUAGUAGCAUUUGCAAGAUGCAAAGUCUAGAGCACCUUUCUCUAAAAAAUUCUUCGAAGUUUGGCUUGUUUAUAGAGAACAGUGAGAGCUCCAAUCUACCUAAAGGUAGACGUGGAUUUCCGAAUCUAGUCUCCUUGAAGCUUAGUGGCUGCAAUCUGUCACAGGGUGAAUUCCUUCAGAGUCUUGCUUGCUUCUCUUCUUUAAAUAUUUUGCAUCUCUCAAGAAAUAAUUUUGGUUAGUCUUCCUACAUGCAUUAGCAAGUUUGAGGAGUUGAUGGUCCUCAAAUUAGAUGAUUGUAAACAACUAUUGGAGAUCCUAGAGCUUCCACCAAACAUUUGUACCUUUGAAGCAAAUGGUUGCAAUGCAUUAUCCAGAUUUCCAAAGUUGCCUAUUCAGUGCAUUUUGUCCUCCAUGGCAGUGUGCGUUCGCUUAGAUUCAUGUCAUGGAUUGGUUUGUGAAGGUAUUGACCUGGCUAAUAUUUCAUCACUGGUGAAGAAGCGAUCGGACAACCAGGUGAUGUUGAAGGCAUCGGUGGACUUGGUGGUGAAGCUGCGGUCAAUGUGGAAGGAGACAUUGCUUGUGCGAAGAACGAUGAGGAGGAGUAGAGCUGCGAUUACCGUGGGAAUAGGAGGAGUAGGCAACAUGGAGAGAGAGAGAGGAUGGUGGUGCUCCAGGAUACCGAAGCCAGACAACGGUGACGUUCCAUUCAAUGCUCAAACACGUCGAUCACUGAUGAGGUUGAGUUUGUUUAUUUAGUAGAGCAGAGCUUUUCGAGAUAUGCAUAAGGAAGAUGAUAGGGAAGAAGAUGACAGGAAAAAAAGAAGAAGAAUUAAAAACAAGAGAAAUAAUUGUGGAUUUAGCAUGAGAGGAAUUGAGACAAGUUUGAAUUUUUGAUCGAAGCCUCUUAAGGCAAUAAACCUGAUCACCUGUGCCCAUAGAUCUUAUACCCGUCGACGUUUUAACAUUGAAGGGGAAACUCCUAUGAUUACUACAACAAGGAGCAAAAAAGAUAUCAUGAUGUCUGAGUUAAUGCAAUAUGAAUCGAGGUCCAAGUAUGAUGUCAGAAAGUCAAUGCACAUAUUACACAAUUCGAUUUCAUCAAAUAUAAAUCAAGGUCCAAGUAUGAUGUCAGAAAGUCCAUGCAUGUAUUAUACAAUUCGAUUUCAUAACAAAUCGAGGUCCAAGUAUGUGCCUAUACAAGUAAAAAUAGGUUAAUAAGUAAACGUUACUCUAAAGUAAAAUCAUUCAAAGUAAUGUUUGGGGACACAUUUUGGUUCCCAUUUUUGCGACAUCUCAUUUUAAAUGGCGCUUAAUGUCAACAUGAGUAAUAUUUAACUUGUUUAUCACUUAUGCUCAUGAUUUUCCACUAAAGAAAAUAUUUUAAUGAUUUGGAAAAAGCAAUUUCGCAAUUUGGAAAUGUCAAUACCAAAUUGAAGGAAAUUGGGCUGACAGGUGAUUGCUAGUGUGGCUUGUGAAAUUAGUUCUUGCAACUAAUGACUUUUAAGCACGUGCGAGCGAACAAAUUGUGAUCAUGCAGUUCGAACUGGUGAAGUAGAUGAAGACCUGAAAAUGAAAUAGGCCAAGUUGAUUAUAUUGGGGCCGAAGAAGCGACACUAGCAUGGGGGCAUAUUUUCCGAAAGUUAGUAAAAGAAUUUGGAAAAAAAAAUUCAAUCAAAAUCAUGGCUUAUUGUAGGCUUGCAACUUUAUAAGUCAUCUUAGUUCGAAACACAAGGCAUCUUUCAAAACAUAUAAAUGAAAAUUCCAAAUAACAGCUUGAAUGAGGUUGUUUUUUUAAAGAGAGAACCUAGAGUAGGUAUUACUUUAAUAAUAGCUUGAAGUGACUACAUUAAUACGAAAUAAAUCUUUGAGCUCCUCGGUCAUUCGAAUGUUCAUGGGCUCGUGAGCAUGUGAUAUUUUCAUGGGUUGGAAUAUGAGCAUUUUUAUAACAGAAAUGAAAUGGAAAUCUGUCACUGGACUCACUCUAUCCUUGGAUUUACUCUAGAUAUAAGCAUCAAAAUCAACUUUGAUCAUUUUUCUUUCCAGAAUAAAGUCGCAAGAAGUGAAGCUAUCAAGAAAGUGAUGAGUAAAUAUUCCCCUGCACUUUUGACUAAGCAAAAAAGACAAUAAGAGAUAUCGUCAAAUCACAUUAAUUUCAUAAUGAUUGGCGUAAUUAGUGCGUUUGAUUAACACGGAAAUCCUCUUUUGGACCAAAUAAUUUGAAUGGAACGCUUAGACAAAAUCUUUCUUAGGAUCUCUCGUCCAAAGUAUCUAAUGUUUUUGAAAAGGACUUGCACUUUGAUUUGUCUGGGAUUAUUGUCGCUAAGCGUCCAAUGAAAUGGGCCUUACUCGAGUCGAAGAUCCUUCUCCGAAGUAUCAAAAACUAAGCUACUGGCGUACCAAGAAAUCGAUUACACGUGUUCUUGUAGAAAUUUUCUACUUUUUUUGAAUUUAUACAUUGAACCAAUCACGUCACUUUCAACUAAAUAAAAGCCUUGGUUUAUUUUCAUGCCCCAACAAUGAAAGGAAAAAGGUAAUACUUAUCCAAUUUGUAACUAGAAUGUCUAGUGCAUAAAGAAAAAUACUACGUACCAAUUAUUGGUGAAGACCUACUCAAAUCAAAACGCAUUUCUCAAACUAGCACUAGUAUCUUCAUACUUGCAUAAACAAUACAUCUUGUGAAAAAUAUUUAAAAUAAUUUGCAUGUCAAAGCUAUCCUCUCAAGUUAAAUAAGAGGCCUGCACUCUGAAUUUGAAUAUCUUCAUUCCCAUUGUAUACUAAUAUAUCUCUAGUAAGCGAAUCAUGAAAGGCAUACCAAAUAAUCAUGCGAAUUUUAGCCACCAAAAUCACGCUCGCGACAUUUGCCUGUUGUUCCCGGUGCCACGGUGCCUAGGUACACAUCAUCCACGUUUAGACAAAAAUACUCUUUAUUGUUAAUAUGUUCUUCUUGGAAAUGAAGAGAAAAAGAAGGACGAAUAAAUCAAAGCAAACGAAAGUGAGGUGGAAACCAUCAAAUGAGCCACAUGUCAACUCUGCAUAAAGCCCUCCACAGAGUACCAAAAUACCGUGAUAGUUCUAGAUGAAUUUAGUAAUUCAAGCCAAGAGAGAGCGCACAAACUAUAUAUAAAAGGAUUUAGUAUUUCUUAUUUGAUAUGAAAGGAGGAAAAAAACACUCAAAAUCACUUCUAGAUUGCAAGUUCUCUCAAAAUCAUCCAUCAGUCAUACUGUAACCCAUGCAAAAUAAAAAUCUCAACCUUUCGCAAUCCUUUUAUUGGCAAGAAGUGUCCAAAAGCUCCUGCAUGAUAACGUCGCCGAAAGGCAGUUGUACAUGCACUAAAUAAUAUAAUUGAGACAUCAAAGCAAAAGCUCCCAUUCCACGAACCCUCUAUACAUCAUUGCUGUUCAAAGUCUUAAGGCUCUAGCUUUUACCGGAAGAUAAAGCCGUUAUCGUAAUAUAGUUGGUUCACAAUAUCUUAUAACUAAUGACAAACACCUUUAGAUGAAUAAGUGAUUAUCUUUACUAAGAAGUUAGGAAAAAAGAGUGUUAACAUGGAAUAAGAGGUCUGACAAAAAUGAAAUAAAAAAGAAAAAAGUAUUGCUUAAAUAGUUAUUCGAUCGUGGAUAAUCCAUUAGCUGAGAAAUUCUAAAUAUGAUAUUAAAAAUAUAAAAUAAAUAUAAAAUGUCGAAAACAAAAUUAAUCAAGGAGUGAGAUCAAAGUGACUUGGCUAAGGGGGUGAUGACUCAAUAAUCUUUAGGCAAGAUAUGAUAUGGAGAAGUUUAGUUUGAAAGGUAGGGAAAAGUUGGGGAAACUUAUUUUAGGGUUUGCUUGUCUAGAAUCCAUUAUGAGAGAAAAAAUAUGUCAAAUUGUUCAUUAUAAAUAAUAAUCCAACAGGCUAUGUUAUUGCGAUUGACCCUUGUAUAUUGAUGCUAGGGGCAUAGGAGUAUUGCUAGUUUUCUUAUCUAUUUCUUUAAUUAAUGGAAAAGGCAAGUCCGGUCAAGAAGCAGGUUCCACGCACCUUCUACAAAAUGCUGUGAAAAUUACGCGUGCAUUGAUUAUCCUUUCGUUUUCUUUUCUAUCGCCAUCUGCUUUUUAUUAAAUUAGUUCAGUGGAGAAUAUGCUUGCCGAUUCAGAGCAUCAGAAUUAUCGGUUGAUUUUCAUUUUUAUUUUUUUAUUAGUAGAGAAAACAAGUCAAGACAAGAAAGGAAAAUAAUAAUAAUAAGGAUACGACAUAAAUUUUAUGCACCUCCCACGGAUAUUACGCGUGCAUUGAUUGUCCUUUUAUCUUAUUUCUAUUGCUAUCUCCUUUUUAUUAACUUAGUUGGUGGACAGUAUGCUUACCGACUCGGAUCAUCAGAAAUGAUUCGUUGGUUUUUAUUUCUAUUUCUUUAUCAGUAGAGAAAGCAAGUCAAGUCAACAGAGGAAAAGAAAGAAAGGACACGCGUAAAUUUUAUGCACCUUCCGUCGAAAUUACGCGUGCAAUAAUUCACCAACACUUUCUUUUCUAUGGCUUUCUAUGAUUAUCAUUGCCGCGUGAUUCGAGAAAGUCCUAGUCGGAAAGAAUAAAGUGAUAUACACAUGAGAGAUAAAGCUGCAACCCAACCAGACAGUAAGCAUUCUGCGUAAGCAGUAAGCACAUGAACUUUGAUCUCCUCUAAUAGCCGCUUCUUCGAAUCUGAAAGGGAAGUUCUUUCUAGGAAUCUCUCACGCUCUCUCUCAAAAAGACAAUUUCCCAUAAAAAAGAAGGAAAAAAAAGGGAGGGCGUUCACGAAAAGGGUGGAAGGGGAGAGUCGGAGACCACCAUCUUCAGGCAGCAUUUUUCUGGAAAAGAAAAAGAAAAGCAUUCCCCACCCUUUCUCCUGAACUCAACCGACCAGCCACCUCCUCCAUCUCCGUCCGACUACCUCCUGCCGGCGACUGCUUCACCGUCACCUACUUCUUUACUCUCACGAAAAAAAAAAAAGAAUCUUCGUCUUUCUCUACUCCGGGAACGGUCGCCAUUGAAGCCCCACACAAAACCUCGGAGCCACUGCCGAUCGACGUCGUCCGCCACCUCCAGAACAUCCUCCGCCCGCUGCCAUUCGUCGUCGCGGUCCCUGACCUCGGUGGAGUCGACUGAAGCCGAACACGAGUUUGGAGUCGCUAUUCUCAACCUUCGCCGCUGACGAUGGCCACGUAAACCAAGCCAGGUAGGGGCCCCAUGAUUGAAUGCUCGUUCCUUUUUUUUUUUGCCUCGUCCUGCUUGAUUUUAAAAGACCAAAGCAAGCUCGAUUUCUUUAGUCCUCACUCGCGUCGGACCUGAAUGAGUCGGUUUUUCUUAAGUUUGAACGUUGCUCGCUGAUUUCUCUUGAGUUUAGGUUUCAGCUCGAGCUCCGAAUAGGUCCAUAUUCGAAUUUGUUCCGUUCAAUGCAACAUAUGGUAUGGAAAAAUUUAGUUUGAAAAGUGAGGGAAAUUUAUUUUAGGAUUUGCUUUUGUAGAAGCCUUUUUGAAAGAAAAAAAAAGUCAGAUUGUUCAUUAUAAAUAAUAUUCCCACAAGCGGUGUUUUGCGAGUGACUCAUGUAUAGCACCCGGAGCAUGGGAGUACUGCUAGUUUUCCUUUUUAUUUAUUUUAUUAAUGGAAAAUGCAAGUCAAGUCCAGAAGCUCCUAUAUAGGAUGGUUCUGUGCAACUUAUGCAAAAUGCUGCUUUCUGUUAAAUUAGUUGCUGGAGAAUAUGCAUAUCGACUCGGAGCAUCAGAAAUGAUCUUGGUUUUCAUUUCUAUUUCUUUAUUAGUACAAAGUAUAUCCACCUAAGAGAAAGCUGCAACCCUACCGGACACUAAGCAUUCUGAGGAAGCACAUCAAACUUCAUCUCCUCUAAUGGCUGCUUCUUCAGAUUUGAAAGCAAAUUAUGAUGUCUUCCUGAGUUUUAGAGGUACAGACGUUCGAAAAAGUUUCCUUAGUCAUUUCUACACAGCGCUUGCCCAAAAAGGAAUCUACAGUUAUGUUGAUAGCGAGGAGCUUCGGAAAGGUGAUUGUAUAAAGCCGGCGCUUAUGAAGGCGAUUGAGGAGUCGUGUAUUGCGAUCAUCAUUUUCUCUGAGGACUAUGCUUCCUCACCGUGGUGUUUGGAAGAGGUGGAGAAAAUCAUGGAGUGCAAGGAGCAAAGAGGACUCACGGUAUUUCCGGUGUUUUACAAAGUGGAUCCUAGAGAAGUGAGAACACCAAGAAAGAGCUACCGAAAAGCUAUGGUUAAGCAUGAGAGAAAGUUUGGGAGAGAUUCAGAGAAGGUGAAGAGAUGGAAAAAGGCUCUCCUUGAUGCGGGUAGCUUGUCUGGGUGGGAUUUGAAGGAUAAGUAAGUACUAAGUAGUGAUUCAUGUGACACAGCUUUGUUUUUUUCUUUUUUAUAUGCUGAAUCUCUUCUUCUUUUUCCAUGAAAGUUAAUUAUAUUUGGAAAUUGAUGUAUCUAGUACCUUUCCGGAUUUUGUCAGAGAUGAAGCAGAUCUUAUCAAUAGAAUUGUGCGGGAGAUCUCUAUGCAACUGGACCGAAAACCAUUACACGUUGCCAAGCAUCCGGUUGGAAUACAUCGACAAGUGGUAAAGCUGGAAUCUAUGUUAAAUCUUGAGUCUCAUGAUGAUGUUGUCAUGAUAGGAUUAUGGGGACAAGGAGGCAUAGGAAAAACAACAUUAGCCAAAGCCCUUUAUAAUGAUAUAUUCAGAGGAUUUGAUGCUUCAUGUUUUUUGGCAAACGUUCGUGAAACUUCAAAAGAUUCCAAAGAUUUAGUUCAUUUGCAGGAAAAAUUGUUGUCUGAGAUAUUAGUGGGAAAAGAAUUAACAAUGUUUAGUGUUGAUGGAGGUAUUAAUUUGAUGCAACAUAGACUUUGCCGCAAAAGAGUCCUCCUUGUUCUCGACGAUGUCAAUGACGUAAAACAAUUAAAUGCUUUAGCUGGAGGGCGUGAAUGGUUUGGUAAAGGAAGCAGAAUCAUCAUUACUACAAGAGAUAACCAUCUAUUAACUGUCCAUGGGAUAGAUGAAGAUCAUAUCUAUGAAGUUAAAAUUCUAGAUGAUUUGGAAGCUCUUGAACUUUUCGAUAAACAUGCUUUUCUUGGAAGUAAGGAAAUAGUGAUAAGCAGGGAUCUUGUGGAUAGUGCUUUGCAUUAUGCUGAUGGCCUUCCUUUAGCACUUGUGGUAUUGGGCUCUUACUUAUGUGGUAGAAGAGAACAUGAGUGGGAAAGCGCAUUGAAUAAACUUGCUAAAAGUCCUGACAAAACCAUCAAUGAUGUUCUCAAGUUAAGUUACGAUGGAUUAGAGGACUGUGAAAAGGAGAUAUUCCUUGAUAUUGCAUGUUUCUUCAAGGGGCAAUCUAUAGAGUACAUCAUGGAAGUCCUUAACAGUUGCGACUUUGACACAACUAUUGGAGUAGAAGUUCUUGUUGAGAAGUCCUUAAUAACUAAAGAAUGGGAUUCAAUACAAAUGCAUGACUUGAUUCAGUUGAUGGGCAUGGACAUUGUUAAACAAGAAUGUCGCGAUGAUCCUAGAAGACGCAGUAGGUUAUGGCUUUGUGAAGACGUCCAUGAUGUUCUGUCAGGGGAUAUGGUAAGUUUUGGUGGUUUAAACACUGAUUUUACUCACUUCUUCUCUAACUUCGUAAACUAAUUGCAAUGCAAGUUCUAUAAAUGCAGGGCACAAAUGCAGUAAAAGCCAUAGUUUUGGUUUUACCCCAGGCAGAAACAAUAUACAUAGGUCCAAAUGCUUUCACAAACAUGAGAAUGUUGAGGUUGCUUGUCAUGAUUAAUGUGCAUAACUCUUUCCAAGGUCCUAUCUGUCUUCCUAAUGCACUGAGAUGGUUUCAAUGGCCUGAAUGUUCUUCUUCGGUUCUUGAAUUUCUCCCUGGCCCAAAGAAGUUAGUCAAACUUGAUCUACGAAAAAGCAACAUUCAAGUCGUGAUGGACCAAUUUAAGGUGCGCAUUCAAAUGAUUUUCCCUAUUUACUUAUCUCUUACAUAUCUAUAUCCGUAUGCAUAUGAUUGUGAUUAUAUAUAUGUCUUAUUGAAAACUUUGGAUGCAACAAUUACUAACUCUGAUGAUGCUCGUUAAUUGUGCUUAAGAAACAUCUGCAUCUAUUACAUUGUUUAUAUUUGAUUAAAGCAUUAAAAACAAGAUGUUGAUCUACUGCAUGAACUAACAUAAGCGGAUUCUUCCAGUUUUAGGGGAGUAUUAAACACUUUCCUAUGUAAAUUUUAAUGUCAAUUCGAACAAAAGAUACUCACUAAAAAAGUUCAAUCUCAUUUCUAAAUGUUAGAGGUACUGAAAUUAUAAGAAGAAUGGACUUAUACGGUCAGUAACUUUGAUACCGAAUAUUGGAACAAGAACUUAUUGGUGACAUAAUUUAACAAUUGAAUGGUGAAAGUGCUUAGUGUUCUAAUAAACAUGAAUGAGGAUUCAAUUUGCGUGCCUCUGAAAUGAUAGAUACUGAAAAUGCUAUCAAAGAUUCUAUAUAAGAGACGAGCUUACUAGAUUCUUUUCGAAAUUGCAUAUGAAAAUAGACUGAGAUUUUUCUUGCUUAUUUGCUUUACCAUUGAAGUGAAUGCAUGCUAAGUACUUUUGAUUGAACCUCCCAUUGUUGUUUCUAUGAUAGAAUGCAAUCAAUAAUGAAAAGAGAGAUGUAGAAAUCAUGUAGUAAAGGAUCUUUAAAGGAGUUGAGUCUUUACUGUAAGUCAGCCCCAAAAGUCAUGUCUCUUUUUAUUGUACCGACCUAACCAGAGAUUUCGGGCAAGUAUUUGUUUAUUUUUAGGAGGAGGAAUAAGCAGAACUCCAAGAAAGUUAUAUUCAUCUUUACGGAUAAAAUAUUCAUUUUCAAAUAUAACUGGGAGUUUAUCCUUCUCCUUCCAAGUACGUAACACGUUCCCCUCCUUUCCAUUCAAUCGGCCCAUUCGGUUGCACUCUUACUCCAUUUAUUCCUAAGUAAGAAAUCACAAGACGAAAAGCAACUCUCGAGGGAGAUAGAUUGACCAGCCAGUCCUUCUCCCGCUUUUUUAAAUAAAGGCUUGUGGAGUACAAUUCCAUGAAGAGUCUUACUUUAUCGAGGCGGUAGUGCACCACAUCUAGGACGCUGGUAGCAGGCAAUGGCUUUCACGCAUGACUAAUAAGGCUUUCUAAAGAGAAGUGAAAAAGGGGCUCGUUUUGCUAAUUUAAAUAUAUUUAAACCUAAAUCUAAUCUAAAGUUAUGUAUGUAUGUAUUAUAUUUAUAUUAAUAUUUAUACUACUGCACAAAGUAAAGGUGACCUUCCACAGGAUCUCAAUUUAAUUUCUUCCCCAAAAUGUCUUGAUUACUUAUUUUACAAAUAUCGUAUUCAUAGAGUGGUGCGUAAACUAUAAAUUUAUUUGAUCUCUCACAUGUUUCACAAUCUAAAUAUUAAUCUUUUCUAUGCUACAAUAAAUUUCUUACUGCAAAUUCUAAUCUUGAAAUAUUUGACAUAUAUCCUAUGUUUGUGUAUUGUGUAUUUACCAACAAUUUAUUUUCAUUAAAUAUUUCUAAUUUGGUGGUAUUGCUCAAUUUUUCAAAUCUUGUGCAUACUCUUAUAUUUUUCUCUUCCUAUGCCUCCUAUGAGACAAACUUUGUGGGCUUUCAAUUAUUGCUGUCAUGAUCGUCGGCCACACUGAUGUCGGAACGUAUUGAACGAACUAAUAAAUAAAAGGGUUUUUCAAUCUUAAUGAAUUGGAAAAACCCCGCUACAAAGGAUAGGAAGAGACUACCUUAGGAGGAUAGUCCAAGGAUGCAGCACCCUCAUGAUCACUCAUGAGUCAACUAAAAGGACGGAGAGAAAGAAAAGAUAGAAUAGAUAGUAUGAAACUUCAUUUAAUAAAUUUGUCGUGUUUACUAUAUGAGAGACCAAGAGGGCACUUAUAAGUUGGAGCCUAAGAUAGCUUUGAGUAACCUCCAAGUAAAGAAAAAUGAACCCAAAACACGAAAUUCAAAUAGGCUACAAUAUAAUCACAUUGUAAUCGAGACUAAAGCAAUCCUAAAAAGUAUGAAACAUGCUCACCGAUCAAGAAAAUAUAUUUUAGACCCAUUAUUCUAUUCCCGAGAGAGAAUCUUGAAAUCUUAAAAAGACCCCUCCUAGAGGCCAACUUCAUAGUGAUAGAUUAGCAACAUUGAAACUAGUGGAAACACCAUUCUCUCUGCAAAGCUCACUUUUGUAGGCAUUAUUAUCGAUGCGUUCCAAAACUAGAAAAGAACCGUCCGUAGCACAAAGACUAGGUAGAAAGCACUCUUCUCAAAUGAAUGAAGAAAAAAUCACCUUCUUUAAAAACAGCAGGCUUUUUCUAUGUUUUUUUGCUUGACUGUAUAUUUGACAAUUUGCUUCGAACUUAUCUUCCUCACGUAACUUAUUGAUUGUCUUAGCUCUUUCUCCAUAUUGGUGGUGGAUAGUGGUGUAAGAUCCAAAGGACUUAAAAAGAUGCUUUCGCUACACAACAUAAGGGGUUGUCUUUGGAAUAUCAUGUAGGUGCACAAUUUCUCUUAUAUAAAGUUCAGCAACAUAUAACGGAUCAAGGGUCUACUACAUUCAACAAAAUGUGUGAUUCUCAAAAAUCAAUCGACCAAGCGCCAUGACCUAAUAAGAGAUGACACGAGAGAUUCCCGAGCCUCCACUGCCAUUAUGGCAGGUUUGCAUAUCUCUGCAUAAGAUUGUAGAUCCAUCAAGUGCCACCUAUGUUAGCUUAAAUUCAUGUCAUGAAUUAGCUAGCAAAGGAUUUGACCGUGGCUCAUGUCCUCACACUUGAGGUUACCCUCUCUCUGAAUUAUAUGUAUUGUUUUUGAACAUACACAUAGGAGAAGUGGCCACCCACUUAGCAUUGGAAUGAUUUCUCUUGUAUGUCGCUUGAUAGAGCUCUAGUGUGUGGUGGAAUUAUGAGUAUUAUUCUUUUUUUUAUCUUCUCUUUCGGCCAAGGAUCGCGCAAUAAACUCAUAUUUAAAAGGGAGAGGGAGUGCUCUAUGUACACCAUAUGAUCAACUAAUUCUUAUCACAUGGGGCUUGAAUGAUGAUCAUGUGUUUAUCAUUAAAUAUUUUUCUCUUCAUUUUUUUUUUCCACAGGACUUUAAAAAUUUGAAGUUCCUUAACUUCAGUAAAUGUCCGUCAGUGGUUUGUAUGCCAAACCUUGAUUUGACUCCAAAUCUUGAAGAACUGGAUCUUCAUGGGUGCAAAAAUUUGGAGCGUGCUCACGAAUCAGUUGCAUAUCAUGCCAAGUUACGGUUGUUGAAUUUAAAAGGGUGUUCUAACCUUUAUCAUUUCCUUGAUGUGCUCCAAUCCAAGAAUCUUCAAGUUCUCAAUCUUAUUGGUUGCUCAAAGUUGCAAAGAUUCCCUGAUAUUCCGGAUAAAAUCAAAGGCUUAGAAGAACUUUAUUUAAGAGGGACUUCAAUUGAAGAACUUCCUACAUCCAUAGAAAAUCUUGUCUAUUUGGAGAAAUUGAAUUUAAUUGAUUGCAAGAAAUUGGCAAACCUCCCACCUAGCAUUUACAAGUUGUCAAAUCUUGAGCGCUUGAUACUUAGUGGUUGUUCAAAACUAAAAAAGUUUCCCAUAAAGGAGGAUUUGUGUGACCCGCAUAGCAAGAUGGGGUUUCCUAAGCUAGUGACCUUAAGGCUUGAGGGAUGCAAUCUAUUGGAAGGAGAGUUCCUGAAGAAUCAUUCAUGUUUUCCACGGUUAAGAAAUUUGUAUUUGUCCAUACACAAUUUUGCUAAGCUUCCAACGUUCUUUCCAGCUUGGCAUUAGAGUAUCAAGUGGCGUAAUUGUAAAAAAGUGCGGAUUUCGAAUAAUAUGCAAGUCAUUAGAGGAUGAUUUGGAGUUUUUGUAUCAAGAGAAAAAGUUGCAGGAUCCAGGUUUGAUCUAUGAGAUUUGGCAUAGCGAUGAAGAAACAACCACAGAGGAAGAAAGGCACCCGGCAAAUAAGGUCUCUCUCUCUCCCCCUUCCCCCUCCGUGAUUGUGGAGGGUGUGUGCGUUUGAUAUGGGUGCAUUGUGUUUGUAUAAUGCAAAAGCUGCAAAUGCUAGUAGACAAAACAAGCUAAUAUAUUGUGAUUUUGCACCUGUAUGUGAUAGCUGGGGCGAUUCCAUGAAGAGGAUGCAAUCUUACAACAAGACCCUAUAUCUUCUGACGACGAAUACGACGAGAUGCUGCCUAGCAAGGGCGACGAGGCUUAUAUUGAUCUCAUGCCUAGCUUCCCACGCAACGAUAUCAUGGCUGACUUUUCAGUUGAGGUCUCUCUCUCUCUCUCUCUCUCUCUCUCUCUCUCNNNNNNNNNNNNNNNNNNNNNNNNNNNNNNNNNNNNNNNNNNNNNNNNNNNNNNNNNNNNNNNNNNNNNNNNNNNNNNNNNNNNNNNNNNNNNNNNNNNNNNNNNNNNNNNNNNNNNNNNNNNNNNNNNNNNNNNNNNNNNNNNNNNNNNNNNNNNNNNNNNNNNNNNNNNNNNNNNNNNNNNNNNNNNNNNNNNNNNNNNNNNNNNNNNNNNNNNNNNNNNNNNNNNNNNNNNNNNNNNNNNNNNNNNNNNNNNNNNNNNNNNNNNNNNNNNNNNNNNNNNNNNNNNNNNNNNNNNNNNNNNNNNNNNNNNNNNNNNNNNNNNNNNNNNNNNNNNNNNNNNNNNNNNNNNNNNNNNNNNNNNNNNNNNNNNNNNNNNNNNNNNNNNNNNNNNNNNNNNNNNNNNNNNNNNNNNNNNNNNNNNNNNNNNNNNNNNNNNNNNNNNNNNNNNNNNNNNNNNNNNNNNNNNNNNNNNNNNNNNNNNNNNNNNNNNNNNNNNNNNNNNNNNNNNNNNNNNNNNNNNNNNNNNNNNNNNNNNNNNNNNNNNNNNNNNNNNNNNNNNNNNNNNNNNNNNNNNNNNNNNNNNNNNNNNNNNNNNNNNNNNNNNNNNNNNNNNNNNNNNNNNNNNNNNNNNNNNNNNNNNNNNNNNNNNNNNNNNNNNNNNNNNNNNNNNNNNNNNNNNNNNNNNNNNNNNNNNNNNNNNNNNNNNNNNNNNNNNNNNNNNNNNNNNNNNNNNNNNNNNNNNNNNNNNNNNNNNNNNNNNNNNNNNNNNNNNNNNNNNNNNNNNNNNNNNNNNNNNNNNNNNNNNNNNNNNNNNNNNNNNNNNNNNNNNNNNNNNNNNNNNNNNNNNNNNNNNNNNNNNNNNNNNNNNNNNNNNNNNNNNNNNNNNNNNNNNNNNNNNNNNNNNNNNNNNNNNNNNNNNNNNNNNNNNNNNNNNNNNNNNNNNNNNNNNNNNNNNNNNNNNNNNNNNNNNNNNNNNNNNNNNNNNNNNNNNNNNNNNNNNNNNNNNNNNNNNNNNNNNNNNNNNNNNNNNNNNNNNNNNNNNNNNNNNNNNNNNNNNNNNNNNNNNNNNNNNNNNNNNNNNNNNNNNNNNNNNNNNNNNNNNNNNNNNNNNNNNNNNNNNNNNNNNNNNNNNNNNNNNNNNNNNNNNNNNNNNNNNNNNNNNNNNNNNNNNNNNNNNNNNNNAUUGAAAAUUUGAUCAUCAACAAUGUAUCCCUGGUGAAAGGCUUUGAACUACAACAUUCUAAGCAUAAGCCAAUAUGUGAUACAGGAUUCAUUAUCAAUUUCUCCGCCCCCCCCCCCCCCCCCCCCCCCCCAAAAAAAAAAAAAAAUCGUAAGUGCAUGUGUUGGUUUGUUGGAGUGUAUGCCGGGCACACUAUGUUUGUAUAAUGCAAAAACCGAAAAUUCCAAACAAACAAGCAAAUCUAACAUAAAGCGAUUCUGCAGUUACAUGUAAUACACUCGCAAGUGAAUGAUUUCUUGAGUAUUACAUAUAAGGCAAGGAAGGAUCAAUAUGUUUAAUUAUUAGAAAACUCCAGCUUUGGUUAAAUUACGAGAAAAAUUCUCAAAUCAAACUCUUCUAUUUGAACUAAUUAUCAACUUGAGUACAUCUAACAAUUUAUUGGUAUAACAGAGGUAUCGCUAUCCCACAAUUUCUACUUACUCCAGAGAUAUUCUCCCUGGAGGAGAUAUGCCAGAGGAGUUCGUCCUUGUUGAAGGCAGUACCAUAUCUUUCAUGGUUUCACGAGACUUUUAUGAUAAGUUCAUGGGAUUAGCUCUCUGUGUUGUUUUCAGUGUAGACAAUGGAGAAAAGGAAAUACUUUUCGACAUCGUGCCCCAUGUUAACGGCCAAAGACGAAAUAGGCUAUCAGGAUCUCUUGGUUCAUUUGAUUCGGAUCACAUGUGGAUUCAAUAUCUCAAACCAAAUGUGCUGUGGGGAAUGUUGGAGGGAGCAGUUGAUUUUCUUGAAUUUGAUGAGGAUCGCUUACGAUUUAGCCUCACACUCAGCAUAUUGGGUGGAACUAUGAAAAAGUUUGGAUAUGUGCUAAGAUGCAAGCAAAUAGAUGAUGAUUUGAAGGUUGUGCUUGAAGACAAUCAAUUAGUGGAUCCAGCUUCAAUCUAUGAAAUGAAGUUCGAAGAAUUCUUUUACAAAUUUCUCCCACGCCAAAAGAAGGGAUUGGAAUGCCAAAGGGAGGAAUCGAAACGCCUAAUGGAGGAAUCGGAAUGCCAAGAGGAAUGCGCAAGGGAGAAAUUGAAACAGCAAAUGGAGGAAAUGAACGCCAGUGACAGCAGUGACAACGAAACAGAUUAAAUGGGAAGAGGCGAGUGUAGUAGUGUUGGCAUGCAGCUCUAAAGUACGCAAUUAUUAAGCUAGCGGAACAAAUUGAGGGUUGGCAUAUGUUUCCCGAUAUGUCGGAACAUCUGUGUUUGUCGUUGAAGUAAGAGAUGGCGUUCAAUUCAAUAUCUAAUGUUAGAUUCGAAAAAUGGAGAGAGGGUGACUUGGUAAGGCACUUCAAUCCAAUAGAACGUGGCAUCAUGUUUGGUUCAAAUAUCUCCAGCACGUGUAGUCAAAUCAUAUCAAUAAAUGAUAUAUCAGUGUUUUUCAUUACUUAGAUUGGGUGGAGUUAACAAAAAUACUAAAUUGUAUUGAUUGGACAGAUUUUAAGACUAGAUUUCACUUUUUGAAAGUUUUGGAACUUAUUUUACAACUUAUGGAGUACUUAUUUAUAAACAAAUUGUAUUCAUAUUUCAUUUCCCCCAUGCAUUGUUUCCCUUUACUUGGGUAAUUUCAAUUUUUUCUUACGCAGUUUAUAGACGAAGCAAAAAGAUUUGCGGUACUAAUGUGUUUCUAUACAUAUUCCUGUUAUAGCCAUAUGUUAAUCUUUGCUCAUUGCCAAAAAAAUAAUCUUUGUUAUGCCCUUAGUUAAUGUUAGUCGUUAGUGAACUUAAAUUAAUAUAGUAAAUUUCAUCAAAUAGUCGUAAUAAAUAACAAAAUUUCUCAGUAAAUAUUCCAGAACAAGUGUAAAUCACCCGAAAUCCUCAAAAUAUAGUUAUUAACUUUGCAGUAUAACUUUCCAUCACAAACAUCCCCUUCGUUAUUUUAAUUUGUGGACAUCAUCAUUAUUCAGUUCUCCAUUGAUACAGCAAUUCUCGUCUUUAUUUGUAAAUGAUAGUAUUUGUACAUCAUAAGUAUUUUUCUGACAGUCAUAAGUCCCGUGAAGUCCUCAUGAUCAUUGCUAUGCAUGUAGUUAGUAACUUUCUUUUAAGGUUAGCAACUUGAUUGUGGAGUUUAUAUCUUGAUGAUCCUAUCCCUUAGGAAUUAUCCAAUAGUAUGGUAAAUUCCUUGAUCGAACUUGUAACUGACAGUAUGGAUAUUUAGUAACUACAAAGUGCAUAUCAACAGCGAUACCUGCUAGAGAGUCCUUGCAACUUUGAGUGAUGAUGAGUAGCAUUUCUUCAAAGGGAGUAGGUUUCCCCAAAGUUUUUACAGCUUGGGAGUUCUAGCAUUCAAAAACUUUUUGAGGACCAUCCCCUUGUUUGAGAAAAUUAUUUUAUUCCGCAGUCAGAUCACUAAUGACUAACAUGAUAUGACUAGCCAAUCAAAUUGAUCGUAUAAAAUGCCAGUUCUCUUACAUGACACUUAAAAUUUGAAAUUUAUUUGCUUCCCGCACCACACGUCUCUAUCACAUCGUAUAACAUUAUGAACGUGUCCCUUGUAUUGACACGCCUCUUUUUUUGUGGUGAUUCUAAAUUUUUUUUUUUUCCAAAAGGUGAUUCUAAACUUGACUAGCACUCUUCAAUGAUCAUCCUCUUACACCACAUGCACACAAACACAAAUAGAUCAUAUCUUGUAAAUUCUCUCUCCUUUCUUUUGUCAAUUGACCUUUCUUUUUCUUUCCCUUUUUAUCUUUUCUUUUGCUUUUCUUAAUGAUCAAAGGCAAAUGAUUGAUUGGAUCUCUUAUAAGGAUAACUUUUCUGCUUGUUUUGGUACUCAUUUUUUUAUCAUUAUAUUAGGUUUUGAAUUUAUGAUUGGUAGAUCUCAAUAUUCUUAAUAAAUCUCUCUCCGUUUUUCCUUGAUGAUAAUUGUGGGUAGCCAGCCUUUCUUUUUUUCGAAAGAUUUUCUUUUUUGAUGGAAAGGACAAAGGGAGUUCUUUUGGCUUAAAAUCUGACUAAUAUUCAUUACUUGCUUGACUUGAUUCUUUCAAGCAUUCAUUGAAAAGGGCUUCAAUUUGAUCAAUUCAAUUGAGGUAUCUGGAAACAAUAUUUUUUUCUUAUUUCUUCAUUUGAAAUAGGCUCUUUUUCUAUUUUUGUAUUAUUUCUAAAUUCAAGGACUAACUACUUAAUCACAAAUAAAAAAAUGGGAAAUGGAUUCAUAGGUCCAAUGCCUUGUAAUAGAACUUAGGGUUAAUAAAAAUAGUAGAUCACAUAAAUUCAACAAAUGAGGUGGGUUCAUUAACAAUUCAAAGAUGAAAAAAUGGUUAAAAAAGAAAGCAUUUCUUCCUCUUCUAUAUCUUACAUCCAUAGUAAUUUGCCCCGGUGGAUCUCUCUCUCAUUUAAUAAAAGUCUUGAAUUUUGGAUUACUAAUAGGUGGAAUACCAAACAAUCCGAAACUUUUUUUUACUGAUAUUCAAGAAAAGAGUAUUCUAGAAAAAUUCAUAGAAUUAGAAGAACUCUUACUCUUAGACGAAAUGAUAAAAGAAUACCCAAAAACACGUCUACAAACACUUCAUAUAGGAAUCCACAAAGAAACGAUCCAAUUGAUCAAGAUACACCUUAAGGAUCAUAUCCAUAUGAUUUUGCACUUAUCGACAAAUAUGACCUCUUUCAUUAUUUUAAGUGGUUAUUCUAUUAUGGGUAAUGAAAAACUUGCUAUUCUUAAAUCUUUGGUUCAAGAAUUCCUAUAUAAUUUAAGUGACACAAUAAAAGAUUUUUAUAUUCUUUUAUUAACUGAUUUAUGUAUCGGAUUCCAUUCGCCCCAUGGUUGGGAACUAAUGAUUGGCUAUGUCUACAAAGAUUUUGGAUUUGCUCACAACAAUCAAAUUAUAUUGAGUCUUGUUUCUACUUUUCUAGUCAUUUUGGAUACAAUUUUUAAAUAUAUAUAUAUAUAUAUAUAUAUAUAUAUAUAUAUAUUCCAACUAGACUAUUUUUAAUCUAAUACUGGCCCUCCUACGCUCUAAUUGGAAUGACCCCGGCAGAGCCAAUCUACAAAAUCAAUGGACCAAAGAUUUUAAAACCACGCAUCAUGUAUUUUCCUGUUAAAAUUCUUCUUGAUUCAUAAUACAAAAUGGUUGAACAUAACCAAAAGAUAGACCUUAAACACAUAGAUAACAAUUAUAUCGAUUAUUUUAAAUCAGAACUUUAUCUAAGUAUUUAAUAAGAAAGUCUAUUAUAGCUAGGUACACUUUGUUGAAGAAAUCUUCCUGGAGUAUUUUGAAGCUGACAAAACGUUUCCAUUAGUCUAGUCUGAAGAUUUGCAGACUCUUCUAUUCAAAGUCUGAAGACCUCCGGACUGCCAGACUCAAGACUCAAAGUCUAUUCUCAUUGACAGUUUCUAAUCCAUCGAAUAAGGGUCAUCCAGAACUGGGUGUUUCAUUAAGGAUUUGACCUUAUCGACUGGAGAAGAUCUCUUGGCUGGAUAUGUCAUAACGAAAUCCUUUAUUUGAUCAUGAUUGAUUCAGAGAUUAAGGAUCCGAUGAUUGGCGAUGUAUACUUGGAAGGUUCUACUUAUGGAAACCAAGAUCCUGAUUGUAUGGGCGAGCAUGAUUGAUGGGCUAUCGACAUGUUCCUUUAAUAGCUCGAAUGAUCUUCCUAAUUGAUUCCGUCCAACGGGUAGAUUGGAGGAAUUCAUUUGGUAAGUGCCAACGGGUAUGAUGGCAUAAAGGAGUAUAAAAGGAAGACGUUCCAGUUGUUCGAGUGUGUGUGCGAUAGAAGAAUUCCAAAAUUUGAAGCUCUUUGUUCUUAGUCAAUUAAUUUGUUGAGCGAAAUCUUGUAUGCAAAAGAGAGUUUAUAUUCUGAGACACCUUGAGGAAGUGUGGUAGACUAUCUACACUGUGGAAUCAAGGGAAAGACUUGUUGUAACAUCUCUUUUGUUCAUAGUGGAAUCCAGCCGGUGGGCUGUCAGUGCAGAAGAGUGGACGUAGGCUUGGAAUAAGCCGAACCACUAUAAACCUUGUGUUCAAUUUUCUCUUCCCUAUUCUCUGCUUUACUUUGAUCAUAAUUCGUCUUGUUAACCAAAGAAGAACUUCCUUUCUAUUAUCUGCUUAGUAUUGUUCUUAUAUCACGAAGAAUUAUUUUUACACCUAUUCACCCCCUCUAGGUGUUUAUACUAGCUAUCUCAAUUGGUAUCAGAGCCUGUAUACUCACUUUGCUUGAACUAUUUUACUUCAGAGUUAAAGAUCCAUGGCUAGUAUGUUAACUCCAGGGCUGGUAGAAGGGCAAAACAAUACCAGACCGCCUUACUUUGAUGGAAAUGAUUACAACAUAUGGAAAAACAAGAUGAAGGCGUUUCUAAGAUCAAAGGAUCCUCUGGAAUGGGACGUUGUAGACAAAUGAAUCAUUCCUAAAGCUGCAUCUAUUUCAGAAAGAGGAAAAGAUACUGUUGAGUCUAGUGAAAUGACUUAGGAAGAGAUAAUCAAGAGACAAGUUCUUGAUGCAAAAACAAUUUAUUCUUUAUAUUGUGCAUUGUCACCUACUGAAUAUAACAGAAUAUCUUCUUGUUCUACAGCUAAAGAAGUCUGGGAUAGAUUACACAUCACUUAUGAAGGAACUGAUCGAGUGAAAGAAACUAGAAUCAACAUUCUGCUCGGUCAAUAUGAAGCAUUCAAAAUGAAAUCUGGAGAAUCUAUCACUGACAUGUUUAGUCGUUUUACAGAGAUCGUGAAUGACCUUAAAAAUCAACGGCAACCAAUUUCUGAUUCCAUGAAAGUAAACAAGCUUCUACGUGGACUCUCUAAGGAUUGGAAUCGCAUAAAGAAUUAUGCCACUUUCGGUCGAUGAAUUGAUUGGGACUCUUCAGUCUUAUGAAGUAGAGCGAAUCAACGAAGAUGAAGAUCCUAAAGGUAAGAAAUCUAUUGCAUUAAAAUCUAAUGAUGAUUCUGAUGUCAUAGAUUCUGAAGACGAUAUGGAUGACGAAGAGCUUGCUCUCAUGAUAAGAAGAUUUAGAAAACUGAACAUAAAAGGAAGAAGAUUCAAUCCAAAGAAACAAAUUUUUCAAAAGCAACAAACUAAGUCUGUUGAGGAUGAUGAAUCAAACAAAGAUGUAGUCUGCUUUGAAUGCAAGAAAAAGGGACACAUUAGACCUAACUGUCUUCUUUUGAGGAAGAAGAAAGGAAAAGCUGAAAAGUAUCGAAAGGCUCUUAAAGCAGAAACCUAGAGUGAUACAGAGUGUGAAGAAAGUGAUGAUGAUUAUGCCAAUAUAUGUUUGAUAGCACAAUCAAAUUCAGAUUCAAACUCCGAAAUAGAAUCAGAUUCAGACAGUGAAUUUGAGGUGAGUAACUUUAAAAUCCCUAUUAAAGUUUCUAAAUACAUUGAUGAGUUGUGUUUCAGUCUUAAGAUUUCUCUUAAAAGGAUUUCCGAACUUAAAAAGGAAAAUUCUAUACUAAAACAACAAGAAAAUGUUUUGAAAGAAAAUGUCAAAGUUUUAGACAAAAAUAUUUCUACCUUGAAAGAAAAUGAAGGCAAUCUUUCAAAAGAAAAUGCAUUCUUGAAAAAUGAUAUCUCAAAUAUUUCCAAAAGAUUUUCUAUAGGAUCUAAGAAACUGGAAAAAAUUCUUUCUGUUCAAAGACCUUAUUUCAAUAAAUUUGGUUUGGGAAUGUCUGCGGAAACCAUUCCUUUAAUUGAUUUUCAUAAAGUAAAGGAAAGAAUUAAGCAAAGACCCACAAGAGAUGCUUACAAAAAUCAUUUUAAAAAGAUCUUUGUAAAACCAGUAGGUUGCAAUGCUCUCAAAUGUUCAAAGUGCAAUAGUGCAGAUCAUUUUGAAAAAUAAUGUCCUAUGGUUUGGAAACCUGUUAAGAAAGUAUGGACAAAAACCGCAUGUCAUACUAACACCAAUGGACCCAAGAAAAUAUAGGUACCAAAGAAAGUUUGAGUUUCUUUUUUAAAUGCAGGUUACUAUAAAAAAGAAGGUAAAAUGGUAUCUGGAUAGUGGAUGCUCAAGACAUAUGACAGGAGAUUCAAAUUGCUUCAUAAAGCUCGUUCAAGUAAAUGGUGGAAAAGUCUCAUUUGGAGGAAACGGCAAAUGAAGAAUUGUGGGAUUUGGAACUGUAAAGAUUGGAAACCUCACAAUAAACAAUGUUUCCUUAGUGGAAUGACUCAACUACAAUCUGCUAAGUAUCAGUUAGCUAUGUGAUACCGGUUUCAAAAUCAACUUUCAAGAUGGAAUAUGUUCAAGAACCAGUAAGAUUCUACUCAGUCAUUCAUGGGUCGAAGACAUGGAAAUAUCUAUCUCCUGGAUGUGAAACUAGAUGAAUCGCAAUGUCUAAUCUCAAUUCAAGACGAAGCGAACUUAUGGCACAAAAAACUUGGGCACAUCAAUAUGAAGCAGAUAGCCAAAAUUUCAGCAAAAAGGCUUGUUCGUGGUUUACCCAAUCUAUCAUACCAAAAGUCUGAUCUAUGUACACCAUGCAUAUUGGGAAAGCAAGUAAGAAAUUCCUUUAAACCAAUAAAUCAAGUUUUCACUAAUCGUGUACUACAGCUCCUGCAUAUGGAUCUCUUUGGACCAACCAGAACUCAGAGUAUUGGAGGUAAGAAAUAUUGCCUAGUAAUUGUGGAUGACUACUCACGAUUUACCUGGGUAUAUUUCCUGGCAAGUAAGUCUGAAACCUUCUCUUACUUUGAAAAGUUUGCUAAAAAUGUUCAAAAUGAAAAAUUGUAUGUUAUUUCAAGUAUAAGAACAGACCAUGGAGGUGAAUUUGAAAAUCAAGAUUUUACAAAGUUUUGUGAUGAAUCUGGUUUUCAACAUUUGUUCUCCUCUCCAUAUACUCCAGAACAAAACAGAGUUGUGGAAAGAAAGAAUAGGUCACUUCAAGAAAUGGCUAGAACUCUUUUAAUUGAAAGUAACAUAUCUUCACGUUUUUGGGCCGAAGCAGUUUCUACAGCAUGUUAUAUUAUUAAUAGAGUUUUUCUAAGACCAAUUCUGGAAAAAAAAAAACCCCUAUGAGUUAUUCAAAGAAAAGAAGCCUAUUGUUUCAUAUUUUCAUGUGUUUGGAUGUAAAUGUUUUAUAUUGAAAAAUGCAAAUGAUCGAGUUGGCAAGUUUGAAGAAAAAUCAAACGAAUGCAUCUUCCUUGGAUAUUCAACCAUAAGCAAAGCGUAUAGAGUCUACAACAAGAAGACUCAAUCUGUGGAGGAAUCAAUGAAUGUCAAAUUCCAAGAUUCUAUGCAAAACGAAUCUAUUUAGACUCAUCUUGAAGAAUCUGAAUCUGCUCCAGAUUCUACUAAGUCUAAAUCUCAGGAAGCAGCUUAGACUUCGAAAGACCAGCAACAAAUGAUUGUUGAAGAUUCAAAUGAAGAAAGUGAUCAUCAAUUUGACAAAUCAACCAGUAACUGGAAGCAUAAGUCCAGUCAUCCCAAAGAUCUCAUUAUUGGUGACAUUAAUGAAGGAAUUUGCACAAGAUCCAAAAGGCGCGAAGAGUCUAGUGCCGUGGCUCUUAUUUCUGAAAUAAAACCCAAAAGCAUAGAAGAAGCUUUAUUUGAUGAAAGCUGGAUUGAAGCUAUGCAAGAAGAACUCAUGCAAUUCAGCAUUAAUGAUGUUUGGGAGUUGACUCCUAAACCGAAAGGUAAAUCUAUUAUUGGAACUAAAUGGGUUUUCAAGAACAAGAUGAAUGAGAAAGGAAAGGUCGUAAGAAACAAAGCAAGACUCGUGGCCAAGGGAUAUACGCAAGAAGAAGGGAUAGACUAUGACGAGACUUACGCACCAGUAGCAAGGUUAGAAGCAAUUCGAUUAUUACUUACUUUUGCUUGUUAUAAGAAUUUUAGGUUAUUCCAAAUGGACGUCAAAAGUGCUUUCCUAAAUGGAUUUAUCCAUGAGGAAGUCUAUGUGGAACAACCACCUGGGUUUGAAGACCCAAGGAAACCAGACUCAGUAUUCAGACUGAAAAAUGCCUUAUAUGGUUUAAAGCAAGCACCUCGAGCUUGGUACGACAGGCUGAGUAAGUUUUUAAUUCAAAACGGCUUUGUCAAAGGUAAAGUAGACACUACUCUGUUUAUCAAAAGAGAAAACGAAAGUUUUCUGCUUGUUCAAAUAUAUGUUGAUGAUAUUAUUUUUGGAUCCUCUAAUGAAAGUCUGUGCAAGAAAUUCUCUAAGUCUAUGCAGGAUGAAUUUGAAAUGAGCAUGAUGGGUGAACUAACAUUCUUUCUUGGACUUCAAGUGAAACAACUGAAGGAAUGAACUUUUAUUCAUCAAUAAAAAUAUGCCAAUAAUCUUGUCAAAAAGUUUGGACUGGAAAAUUGCAAAAAGACUGAUAUACCAAUGUCAAGCUCUUUGAAGAUAGACAAAGAUGAAGGAGGAAAGAAAGUUUACCAGAAGCUAUACAGGAGUAUCAUUGGUUCACUUCUUUAUCUUACUGCUUCUAGACCUGACAUUCUGUUUAGUGUUUGCAUUUGUGCUGGAUUUCAAGCAGACCCAAAAGAAUCUCAUCUGAGUGCCGCAAAGCGUAUUAUCAAAUACAUUGCAUCAACUUCGAGCAUUGGUCUUUAGUAUCCUAAAAAGGGAGACUUUACUCUUCUCGGAUAUUCAGACGCAGACCUAGCCGGAUAUAGAGUUGAUAGAAAGAGCACCUCGGGUACCUGUCAACUACUUGGAAAUAGGACAAUAUCUUGGUUAUUGUUAUCUUUAAUUGACGUGAUUAUUGCAGCGUUUCCUUUUCGAAAAUGGAGUUAUUUUUUAAAUGAAAAUUAUCUAAUUUUUCGAAAAAGGGCAGUUAUUUCUUUAAAAUGCAUCUUUUUACUUUCUUUUAUGACGUUCCGUAUGCCUCUCUUCGACUAUUAUAUAUACUGUCAAUUUCUCUUCGUUUCUUUCACAAAAACCCUAAGAGAGUAUCGAUCUUCCAUUUAAUCUUCUUCUCUUGUUUAAUCUUCGAAAAGUUGUCAUGUUUCUUGGGAAAACAAGCUUGGAAUCUCUCAAAGACUGUCAAAAAUGUCUUCCCAAAGAAAGUCUUCGGGGAUCGGGAACAGGGGACCACAACAAAUGCAUAAGGGGCCUACGCACUUCGAUCUCACCAAAGAAGAAGAGUUUCCUAGUUAGCAGUAGAGCCCACAGCAUUCUCAACAGCAUCCAUCUUCUCCAUCUAGACAACAGGAGGUUGCUCGUCAAGAAAAUGAAGAAAUAUUUGAAGAUGCAGAAUCUGUAAGAGUCUAUAAGCCCUCUUUUACCUACAAGCUUUAUCGUGCUUUUAAAAGGGGAGGAACUUCUUUGAACUACAUUGAUGAAUUUCUGAAAGACAAAUGGUACAAAAAUGAAACAUUCUUUUUACGCACAAUGGAGCGUUUGGGAAUUGCCCCUGCUGGGUCAGCGGAAGAGGCAUUCGCAAAUAUCCCAAUCGAUCCUCAUGUUGGAGGGCUGAAUCAAAUAGAUGGGAAUGAUGAUGACAAGUUGUACAGUUAGUUUCAACCAAGAAUGGGUGUUGCGGCAAAAAUUUGGGGAAAAAUGACAGAUUUGUUUCGAUCGGAGGAACAAAAGCAUUUAUACUCUAAGUUGUUGAAGCGUGGGGUAAUAAACCCUAGAAGUGUAGACUUUGAUUUCCUUGAUGCUGUGAAUGUUAAAUUGAGGGGAAAAUUCAGUCUUCUUCAACUUGAACAGUUCUGUUCUGACUCUACAGAAGCCUAUGCUGAACUCACUGCUUAUUUCUAUUCGAAUCUUAGUUUCCUAGAUGCGAAUAGAUUCUCUUUUAGUGUCUGAGAUCAGGACUAUGUGGUGGAUGUAGAUAUGUUGGCUGAUGUGAUUGAGGUUGAGAGAGGGAGAUAUCAACCUAUCAAUAACUCUAUUGCUCGUACUAUGUUGGAACUUGUUAAGGAUAGAAGGACUGAGGGAAAGGUUUCCUACGGAAGGAUGUGUGCAUUCAACAUUCUGCUUCACAAGAUUGUGAUUAAUUGCCUCAGACUAAAAUCUACUUCAAAGAUUGAUGUUUCAAACUCAGAGGCAAAGCUGAUGUAUGCCAUUAAUGCAGGGAAAAAGUUCUCUCUUCCACAUACUAUUAUGUUCCACAUGUACAGGGCAGUGAUGAAGGACAAGGGUCAACUUCCUUAUCCAGCUCUUGUGACAAAGUUAUUUAGACAUUUGAAUGUUCAGCCUCCACGAAUUCUCUGUGUUCGAUCGUGUGAUCAAAUGGUGGUGGGACUGAAAAUGGUCUCUAAAAUGCAUCUGAAGGAACUCAACAAGGCGUUGGAGAAAUUCAAGGAGAAAACGCAUGUUAAGUCUCAUCAAGUCUCUUCGGCUGCAAAGAGAAAAUGAAAGGAGCUCAUGGUUGCUUCAUCCAAGAAAAGAAGAGCUCUCAUCGUUGAGGAUGAAGAUGAUGAGGAAGAUAUCGCCAUUUCUGCUAUGGCAUUGAAUAACUUGAGUCGUUCUGUUCCAGAAUCAAUGGAGAGACAAGAAAAAGACACAGAUGAGACAGAACAGAGGACUGGAGAAAGAGAAAAUUUGGAAGCAGAGGAGAAAGAAGCAGAGGAAAGACAAACAGAGGAGAGAGAAGUAGAAGAAGGAGAUGAAGAGGAGGAAAGAAUUGAAGAAGAAGAAGAAGAGAGAGGAGAUCAAUCGGAAACAGAGCAUGAGGAACACUCUUCUCCACCUGAAAGCAUGGAAACAAGGGGAGAUCAUGAGAAAAGAGGAAUGUUCUCAUAUCCUGCUACCAGUGAGGGAGUCAGUCGCUCUUCAGCAGAUCCAUAAGAUAUCUAUGCCUCUCAAUUUCCUGAAGAGGGACAUGAUGUUUCAUCGCCCAAUCUGCGUGACCAUGCUGAUUUACCAUCGUCUGCCUUUACUCCAUCUAAUCGUGCAGAAGCCAGUACACAGACUGAAAAUUCAGUAGACUUUCGCAGAAUUCUUGAUGUUCUCUUGGAAAUGCAGGGUCAGAUAUAUGCUCUGGGAUGCGAAGUUUAGAAUUUGCAGAAUGCGGGUCAAGCUUCUUCAGUUUCUUUGAAUGAUAAGAUCCAAGCCAUUUCUCUUCAGAUUCAGGCAAAUGCUAAGGGUGAAGAUAUGGCACAACUGAAGGAAGACUUGAAAAAGCUGGAAGGCAUUGUUUAGUCAAUAGGAGAUUUCCAGCUUGUUCGUGUUCCCAAGCAUUCUUGAAUUCAUUCUCUUUCCAUCUCAACCUUUUUAUGAUGUCAAAAUGGGGGAGAGAUGCAAGAUUUGAAACUUUGAACUUAAAUUUUGUUGAACUUUGGUUUGUUUUGAUUAUGACUUGAAUGUCUGGAUGUCUAGAUGUGGACUGAAUUUGGGAUUUGAAUUUGACUGCUUAUUGACUACUUAUAUUAAGUACUAUUGAUAACUUAUGAAUGGCUUCACUCACAUGAAAGACUAACCUAUUUUCUGUGGUUGCAGAUUCUAGUGUUAUCAUUAAGCCAUUUAUCUUUAUAAGAUAUCCAUAUUUGCUUGAGUAAUAUUUUGCAAGUCAAAGUUAUUCAAAUUUGCAGGAAAGUUUUGUCACCAUCAAAAAUGGGGAGAUUGUUGGAGAAAUCUUCCUGGAGUAUUUUGAAGUUGACAAAACGUUUCCAUCAGUUUAGUCUGAAGAUUUGCAGACUCUUCUAUUCAAAGUCUGAAGACCUCCGGACUGCCAGACUCAAGACUCAAAGUUUAUUCUUAUUGACAGUUUCUAAUCCGUCGAAGAAGGGUCAUCCAGAAUUGGGUGUUUCAUUAAGGAUUUGACCUUAUCGACUGGAGAAGAUCUCUUAACUGGAUAUGUCAUAACGAAAUCCUUUAUUUGAUCAUGAUUGAUUCAGAGAUUAAGGAUCCGAUGAUUGGCGAUGUAUACUCGGAAGGUUCUACUUAUGGAAACCAAGAUCCUGAUUGUAUGGGCGAGCAAGAUUGAUGGGCUAUCGACAUGUUCCUUUAAUAGCUCGAAUGAUCUUCCUAAUUGAUUCCGUCCAACGGGUAGAUUGGAGGAAUUCAUUUGGUAAGUGCCAACGGGUAUGGUGGCAUAAAGGAGUAUAAAAGGAAGAUGUUCCAGUUGUUCGAGUGUGUGCGCGAUAGAAGAAUUCCAAAGUCUGAAGCUCUUUGUUCUUAGUCAAUUCAUUUGUUGAGUGAAAUCUUGUACGCAAAAGAGAGUUUAUAUUCUGAGAAACCUUGAGGAAGUGUGGUAGACUAUCUACACCAUGGAAUCAAGGGAAAGACUUGCUGUAACAUCUCUUUUGUUCAUAGUGGAAUCCAGCCGGUGGGCUGUCAGUGCAGAAGAGUGGACGUAGGCUUGGAAUAAGCCGAACCACUAUAAACCUUGUGUUCAAUUUUCUCUUCCCUACUCUCUGCUUUACUUUGAUCAUAAUUCGUCUUAUUAACCAAAGAAUAACUUCCUUUCUAUUGUCUGCUUAGUAUUGUUCUUAUAUCACGAAGAAUUAUUUUUACACCUAUUCACCCCCUUCUAGGUGCUUAUACUAGCUAUCUCACACUUAUCUCAUGGAAGGGACCUAAGUCUGGUCUCCUAGCUUUUACAGACCACCUUCUCGAGGACAAUGAAGAAGUAGGUUGACCAAGCUCAUUGGACGAUGGCGCACGAUGGGAAAAGUCCACUUACCGGCCUAGACAUCCACGGAACAUCACAGCACAGGCCAAGCCAAAGAUGCUUUUAUCACAUUAAAAUUCUCGUGAUGUCUACAUUCUCCCAUAUCAUUGGACAAUUAUGCCCUCUCAUAUGUUUGAUCACCAUUUGAAUGAAAAUGGGGCUCACAAAGCACACCUUGCAAUCUUGCAAAAGUAUCAAGUGUUUUUUACUUCUUACAUGGAAUUAAUGAAUCUACACAGUUUUAUUAGCUUAACAGAUCGCUUAACUCCCUGCGUUAUUAGAGUAGCAUCACCAUGCAAGGUUCAAUGCUUGUUAAGCUAUUAGAUGGAGAAGUAAGGAUCUUUUAUUUCCCCAUUUUGGGACAAGGUAGUAUACAAGACUAAUAAGGUACCGGCCUUUGAAUACAUAGGAUAACCUCAUACUAACAUGCGCUCUAUGUUACAGCUAAUUGUAAAGGUGUGCAAUCAGACCGAUAUACCCGAGAACUAGACCGACCCACCCGGAAAAUAAGGUUGGGAACUGGUUCCCAUUGAAACCGGUCUGAGAACUGGUUCCCAAAAUUCAGAACCGAUUUGAACCGGAUCGACCAAACCGAUUCGUGAACCGGUUUGAGAACCGGUUUGUAAGCCCAACCCAAAAGUCUGAAACCCUAAUUUGUUCCCCUAUUUCUUUCUUUACCUCUCGCACUCAUAGACUUCAGCGUUUUCCUUCAUUGUUCAUCUACUUCCCAAACCAAACCGACCCUCCAGCUCUAAAGUUCUCCAUGCUCCACAAGUUCCGUCGAAAAUUUCGCAACUUCUUGGGAAAGUUCUUGUUAGGGACAAAGACACGAAAAAGACCUCUUCUUCAAGCUCGCCUUGGAUUGGGGAGGACUAGGUAGGGUCUAAAAUCAAUGUUUUCCUUCAUCAUUCACGUGUCUUCCUCACUUGCUUCCAUCCAUCAUCGGCUGGCUCAUAGUUGCUCUGUCACCAGCUCCCUGUUGCUCUAUUUCAUCCAUCACUAGCUUCCCCAUUUGUAAGCUCGCAAAUUUCCUCAUUUUUCUAGAAUUUUCUUUCAGAUUGAAGCUGGGUUCUUCUCGAUUUUUCUCAAUGUUUUGCCCAUGUCGGCCUGUAAGUAUACAUAAUUAAACAUCGGUUCUCAGGUUGACUUUGUAAGUAUACAUAAUUAAGCAUCAAUUCUCAAGUUGAUUUUGUCCCAUUCAUCAGCACUCUUUGUCUCCAAAGUUAUGUUGAGAGAUUUGAUAUACAUGAAAUAAGCAUCUGCCUGUCGGUUUGGAUUUUGAGAUUUAUAUUUACGAAAAUAGCUUGGCCGCUAGAGCACCUUGUAAGUGCCUUCGAGAUCUACCUCUGCAAUAGAGAGGUUCUGGUUACAUAAGCUUUCUUUGAAAAAGAAAAAAGGAGGUUCUUUCAUCAUGUUUAUGCUUUCAGAAAAUAUAUUUACCCACGUUAGUUCAUGACUUGUGUGAUGGCCAAUACUUGUUUUUUUUUAUUCUGCUACUCGAGAUUUUUUUCUUUGAUACGACAUUGCUAGCCUAAGUUUCUUCGCAUGUGCCUCUAUUCUCUGUACCCUGCUUGUUUUAUAUAUCAAUUAUGUACUUGCAUACCUAUAUAUAACGGUGAAAUUCUUCUUGUUAACUGCCCUUAUCUUUGUUUACAGGUAUGUUGCAACCGAGCUGGCAACUGAUACUGUGACCAGCAUUAGGGAUAUCAAAUUUUAUUUGCACAAGGUAAGAGAGUCAAAUCAUGAUUAUUUAGAUGUACAAUUUGCUAUAUAUUGACUUGCCAUGUGGUAAUAGAAUAAAAAUGGGGUCCUUGAGAAGUUUUAUUAUAAACUGCAAAUGGAAAGUAAACUAUAGUCCCCAAUUUUAAUUAUCAAUCGGAAAUCAGGAAUCAAAUAAAGCUUGUAAAUCAUCUGGACGGACCUUUACAAACCACACAACUUGGAGUUCCUUUCAUCGUAACUAUGAAAUCUAAUUUGUUUUUGUAGAAUUCUAAUGUUAUAUAAUUUGUUUUUAGUCAAUGGAUCAAGACAAAAACAUAUCAAUGGAAGUGGAGGGACAUAAUAAAAUGAGUCCGCUCAUGGAAUUGCCAUUCCAUGGAGCUGUUGAAGUGGAAUCUGUGACCAUGGGUGUGACAAACAAUGUGAGGGUACCUAACUCUUAUCCUCCUUCAGGUAAAAAGCAAGCUAAUCAAUAAGAGACUUAGGAUAUUUUUUCGAGAAUCAUAGAUGAGAAAACACAUAAAACAGUUAGGGUGAAGUGCAUUCAUUGCAGGAUUGAUUAUGCGUAUAAUGUUGAUCGUGGAACCUCUACUAUGUGGGAGCACUUGAGAAAGUGCAAAAAGUAUCCUCAUGCAAAUAAAAAGCAAAUGUUGUUUGCAUCAUGUGACAAAGAUGUGGCUGGCGAGGUAGGGGAAAAUACUACUAGUGGUGGUAGUGUCUUAACGACAUGGAAGUUUGAUCAAGAAUAUUGUAGACAUAUGCUUGCUCGAAUGAUUAUUAUUGAUGAACAACCAUUUUUCAUGGUUGAGCGUGUUGGUUUUCGCGAUUUUGUUACUAAAUUGCAACCUCUUUUCCAACAUCUUUCAUGAUUUAAGGUGGCAAGAGAUUGUAGGAAGUUAUAUCUAAGUGAAAAGACUUGUUUAAAAGCUUACUUUGGUAAGUUUAAAUCUAUGAUUGCAUUCACAACAGAUAUGUAGAAUUUCAUUCAAAACUUGAAUUAUUUGUCUCACUGCACAUCAUAUUGAUGAAAAUUGGCAGUUGCAUAAAAGAAUAAUCAAUUUUGUGGUGAUGCAUAGUUAUAAGGGUGAGGAGAUUGGGAAAAUGGUGGAGAAAUGUAAUUAUGACUGGGGAAUAGAAAAAAAAUGUGUCCACAAUAACCGUAGAUAAUGUUAGUUCAAAUGAUGUGACCGUUGGUUAUUUGAAAGAAAAUUUUUCAAAAGAAUAAUUUUUUAUUUUGAAUUGCAAUACUUUACAUAUAAGAUGCAUUGCUCGUAUACUUAACUUGAUAGUAAGAGACGAAUUGAAUGAGGUGCAUUAUUCAAUUGCACGCAUCCGAAAUGUAGUUAGGUAUGUGAGGAGUUCUCCGACAAGAGCUAGGACAUUCAAAUCUUGCAUUGAGUGAGAUGAUUGCAUACAAGGGUUUGGUCUAUCUUGAUGUUGCCACUAGAUGGAACUCCACUUACAUGAUGUUAGAUACUGCCAUAAAGUUCAAGAAAGCUUUUCAAAGAAUGGAGUAAUAUGAUUUAUUAAGGGAAAUUGACAAUGAUUCUCCUCAAGAUGAAGAUUAGGAAAAUGUCAUCAUUCUUUCUAAAUUUCUGAGACGGUUUUAUGAUGCAACCAAAAAGAUGGUGGGUAGUUCAUAUGUUACUUCAAAUGAUUAUUUUGAGGUAAUAAUUAUGUUGUAUAAGUAUUUGAAUAAUGCGGCGAAUUCUUUAGACCCAAAGCUUAAAGUAAAUAAAUUGAAUUAUAUAAAGUAUUAUUUUGAACAAAUUUAUGAUGAUAAAGUGAAAAUUGAUGAGAUGCAUGAUAAAGUGAAGGUUGCCUUGGAAAAUUUGUAUAAAUCUUAUGAGCAAUCUUUUUUUUUUCUCUCUAGUAAAGAAAAAUUUGGUGGUUCAAGUGUGAGUAACAGUAAUAGUGCUUCCAACACCAAUAUUAAUGACAAUGAGUGUGAAAUCCAUGCUUUGCACAAAAGUUGUCUCUACGCGAAGAAAAAAGUGUUGGAUGAAAACAAAUCUGAAGUUGAUUGGUAUUUUGAAGCUGAAAGUGAAGAUAUCAUUAAUCUCAAUCUUUUGAUGUGGUGGAAGAGUACUGGGUCAGAGUAUAAAAUCUUAUCUUUGAUGGCUCGAGAUGGUUUGUCUAUUCGCGUGACUAUCAUUGCUUCAGAGUCGGCUUUUAGUAUAUCGAGACGUGUAUUUGAUGACUUUCCUCCUAGAAUGGUGGAAGGUUUGAUUUGUAUUCAAAAUUAGUUGAGAGCUGUUCAGGUACCGAUUAAUAUUAAAGAGUGCAUUAAGAAUGUGGAAAAUUUUGAGGCCGGUAAGUCAUAUAUAUUUCUUUCUAUCUUGUAAUUCAUUCGCAUAACAAUCUAUUAAGGACGUGCGGACCCCACAAGUGCCACAACUUUGGCCAAAUGGACACUUAAGUGCCAUAACUUACGAAAGGUACACUUAAGUGCCAAAAUCGGAGUAAAAUGGAUCACUUGAGUGCCAAUCCGGCCAAAAUACCGACGUUGCAUUUUUCCGGCGAAGCGCACCCAAAACGACGCCGUUUUGCACGCUGACGUGGCCAAAACGGCGUUGUUUUGGGCUGACGUGGAAAAAAAUAAAUAAUUAAAUAAUUAAAUUAAAUUUAGUUAAAAUAUUUAAAAAAAUAAUUAAAAAUUUUAAAAAAUUAAAAAAAAUUAAAAACUUUAAAAAAAUUAAAAAAAAAUUUAAAAAAAAAGGCAAUGGGGGGGAGGCGGCUGAGGGCUGGUCCCUCAGCCACCACCACCGCCAUUGCCCCGCCGCCGCCGCCGCUGGCCGGCGAUGGUGGGGGGAGGGUCGACCGAGGUCGCCAGGCCUUGGCCAAGGGUUGGCGACCCCGGCCGAUCGGCGACGAGGGCUCGUGAGCCCUCGCCACUGGAUCUAGGGGGGCUCACGGCCCUCGCCCCAGAUCAGGGGAGGGCUCGCGAGCCCUCACCGCCGGUCAGCCGGGGUCGCCAGCCCCUGGCCAGGGCCCGGCAACCCCGGCCAACCCUACCCCCGCCGUCGCCAGCCCUUCCCGGCGACGGCGGGGCGGCGGCAGCGAUGGCGGCUGAGGGCUCUCAGCCGCCUCCCCCCGUUCCCUUUUUUUUUUUUUUAAUUUUUUUAAAAUUUUUUAAAGUUUUUAAAAAUAUUUAACUAAAUUUAAUUUUAAAAUUAUUAUUUUUUAAUAUUUUAACUAUAUUUAAUUAUUUAAUUAUUUAUUCUUUUACCACGUCAGCCCAAAACGACGCCGUUUUUGCAUUAUUUCGCGACGUCAACAUGCAAAACGGCGUCAUUUUGGGCGUGCUUCGCCGGAAAAAUGCCACGUCGGCGUUUUGGCCGGACUUUGGCCGGAGUGGCACUCAAGUGAUCCGUUUUUCUUCGAAUGUGGCACUUAAGUGUACCUUUCGUAAGUUAUGACACUUAAGUGUCAUUUUGGCCAAAGUUAUGGCACUUGAAGCGUUCUUUUGCCAUAUAUUAAGUGGAUGCCUUAUUUAAUCUCUUUUUUUUUUUUUUUUUGAAGAUUUGGAUUGUCUUACUGAGGAUAUUAUCGUUGGAAAAUAAACUUCAUUUUGUGGAAACUCCGAUUUUGUGGUAAGUAAAUAGACUUGAUUAAACCAUAACUUUUGCAUAUGUCUUUAGAGCAUGGUUUCUUGUUGAUUUUUCUUUAUAUAUGAAUUUUAGGUUUUUGUCAAAGAUUUUGUACCAUGUGGAUUGGCUCGUCUGAUUUCACUUUUGGAGGAGGAGUUAUGUUGAUUUCACUUUUGGAGGAGUUAUGCUUGCGCCAAAGAUUUGUUAAUGAUUUUAGACAAAUGAAAAGCUUCUAUAUGUAGCAUUGUUGCUCAUGAUGAAGAAAGGGAAGUGGUUCAAAGGAUCCUACGAGAACGCGAGGCCGAACAAGGAGAAGAAGAUCGAGCACAUCAGGGACAAGGUUGAGGUCCCCAAGUCCACUCCUUGGCCUCUUCCCUUCAAGUUCAUUGGAAAUUCAUCUUGCUCCCUCGUGCUCUCUUUGUCUCCAGUUUUGUUCGUUCAUGUAGUUGUAGUUGUACUUCCGAUCUACCGAUUGGCAAUGGAAUAUGGAAGCUAUUUGUGUAUAUUGUCGGCAGAUUUUCGAUUGAGAUUCACUUUGUAUUUCGGUUUUGAGAUUAGAGAAGUUCCAUUUUCUUUGAAAUCGAUUGUUCUACUGGUUUGAAAGCGUGCAUGGUGAUACUUGGGAACUUUUGGAUAAGAAUGAGAGUCAUUAGCAUCUCCAUUGACAGUGUUUUUAAUCGCUAGUCCUCGUGGUUUGCUAAAAGUGAGUGAUUUGAUUGUUGAUGAUUGGAAAAAUUGGAGAAUAAGUUUAUCUUUGGUGCAAAGCGAGGAUAAGGGACACAAGUUAGCUCGUUGCUAUGCAAAUAUGGUGUAACGCAAUUAGAGGAUAUUGGUUAAGUAUGUAGUUUUGAUUAGCUUGGGUCUGAGUUGUUAAGAAAUCGAGGAACCCGACAUGCCAAGAAAGGAGAGAACUUGUUUUCAAGAAAUUGAUAUGUGAGGUUUCUGUACAACAAUUUUUAUAUAAAAUGACAAUUUGUGUAUAGCUAAUCCAUCAAUGACCACCAGGCUCAUUAGGGGGAUGGAGAUCAUAGCCAUCCUAAAAUUUUCAUCAUUAACACAGUAGAUUAUGCUGUUGACAAAACUCAGGUCUCACUACAAGCACAUUGAUCGUCAUUAGUGCUUCUACUGGUGAGAGUUGAUUGCAACGCAAUUAGAUUGUAGAAAGGAGAUAUUUGGCAUUGUUGUUGUCAUCAUCAUGGAUGGCUCUACAAAAUCUGUAUUGUGACUUGCCUAACAAAUCCAAGGUUAGCUCCACAAGGUCUAGUGCAGUAAUAAAAUAAACCAGACCGAAGAAAACAGCUCAAUUGAAAUUGUUAGAGCAUUAAGAAUUAUGUUAUUUGCUCGUGUAUUAAUAUAAAAUUUGAAGUUGUAUAGGAUGGAUGGUUGCAAAACAUGUUCCAAUAUAAACAGGGUCAACCCUGGAACCGGACCAAAAAAAUAGGGUGAGUCGGGCAUAGGGUCCAAUGCAAAUAGUAUCGAGUACAGAGUCCAAAAAAUGGGAACCGGUUAUAAUAGGGUUGGGUAUAUGGUCCAGAUCUGGAACCUACCUACCCUAGACCCAAUCACCCCUGGCUAAUAGAGAAUGAAAAGAUUUAUAUUUGAGGCAAGCUAGGAAAAAAAUAAUGACUAACCUCAUAAGUUGCUCCGAGGAGAAGCUCAAGUUGUAGACUUCUUACAACAUCAGUUUCCUACUCACAAUUCAACUCUCUCCCCACUCCCUUGUGGAUGCAAUGAUGAAGCUGCAAGAUUGUUGUGAUUCUUGAAGACUGGACAAGCCAUAUCUGACACAAUGCAAUUCCACAAAAACAAUAAGAAAAAAUUCAGGAUUAUUAUGGGGUAAUUGGAAAGUCUACCGUCAAAACUUCGCAAGUGCUCAUGGUUUCUACACACUAUCCAUCACUUAGGACCUUUAGAGACUUAAUUCGUCUAGAUGAUAUUAUGAUGAUAUAACAACUAAUGACAACCAACAAAAGAUCUAUAGUACUUUUUUGCCAAAACAACCAAAGAUAUUAGCCAGUCAAAUUUGUUUAAUCUUAGAAAUUUGCACCAAUUUCAAUGGAAGAGCUAGCAUAUUGUAACGACCCCGACUCCAUCCUCAGGAUCUCGAGCUACAAGGAUUAUUUUCAUGACGUCAUAGGCGCGUCGCCGUCCCGUUUCUUUUUAUCUUUUCAUUGAGCAAAUGCGAAAACGUUACAAAAAGCACUCAAACAAUAACAAGCAGCCAGGAAAAUAAACAUUUACAAACAUACAAUUAUUUCAGUUACGUUUACAAACCCUUCUAUCAUGAGACGUUAUAUUUAUAACAACUACAUCUUCUAUGCUCAAAAGACCGAGGUAAACCUCAGCUCCUCUAGCGAGACUCUACAAUUCUAAAAAAAUAAUGGGGUGAGUCAUGGACUCAGUAAAUAAAACCCCUAAUUCUCUAUUAGGAGAACAUCUCAUCAUCAAAAUUUAAUAGGUACGACACUCACAAUGCAAUGUCAAUAGCAAACUUAUUGCUAUACCUCGAUUACAUGCAGAUGUUCAUUAUAGCAUACUUUAGUGCAUGCUUAACUUCAGCUUGUCAAUGAACAUAUCAACGUAUAUACUGGCACAUAUACAAUGAUUCUUUUACUGUCGUCUUGGCUCAACCAGGCCCUCUCGGCAUGACCAAGCCUUCCAGUUUCAUAUGGGCUUCUUGGCUUAACCAAGGCAUCCUGGCUCAACUAAGGCAACCUAGGCUAGCUUACCAAGGCAUCCUAGCUCAAUUAAAGCAUCUCGGGGCUAGCUUACCCAAGAUAUCUAGACUUAAACUCAGGCAUCAUAGCUAAACUAGGGCAUCCCGUUCAAUGAACGAAACAUCGCCACCAACGCUAUGUGGCAACGAGCACUUUUUCCUCUUUAAGUGCAUCAUAAAAGUGCAUCACGCAAGCCAAUUCUUACUUUUCUUUUUAGUCGACUCAUACAUGGCUCGAAGGCGUGCUCAUUCAAGUGAGUGUACCAUUACUCUUAACAUCAUGCUAUAUUGGGCACAAUUAUUAGUUCGUGGCUUGAGCCGCAUGCCCCGCACCAAGCAAGACUUAGAAUCGACAUGCUUCUAUAUCGAUCUAAGGCCUCACCGCUUAGGCUAUCGUGACUUGACGGCAAUUCCAAGUCAAGUGAACCUCGACCUUAUUCUAGGAUGUGAACCCACUCAAGCAUGCAAACAUGAACAAACCAUACAAAAGAACAUUAUAAAAUACACGCGGCUAACACGGGUGAGCACACCACUAAACCAAUGAUGUAAGCUAUCGCCUUAGCGAAGAAUUAGAUAUUCUACUUACCUGAUGAGGUGGUGGGGGUUCAAUCAAGAGAAAGAAGCUUGAGGGCGGCAGCAAGGGAGUGUGGCUAAGAGAGGGAUAUAGAGAGGGAUAGGGGGCAAUAGAUAGUGGUUGGUGGAAAUGAAGAUGAAUGUCCUAUUUAUAGACCUCUCAUCACUUAAUAACCCUAAAAAGUGGCCCAAUCAUCUUUCCUCAUAUGUCCUAGCUAAUAUGAGAGAUGUGGCACCCCAUUAUUCUAGUGAAAUGAUUAAGAACAAAGGGCAUUCUUCUCAUUGGUCCAUUUGUAUUGAUGAGUCAUCUAACAUUUAUGAAUUGACUAACUUGUCUUCCAAAGCUCAUAUUAGGGUCAUGAUGACCUAAGUUUAUAGGGACACUUAAGAUGUUGAGUUACCCUCUUUCAUUAAUGACUAGCUUCCAAAGUCAUUAAUGGCUUAGACUUGUCAUCAAUGAACUUGAACUUUGGAUAACUUAUUAUCCAAGUUAACUACAUAAGAAUGUGACUUAUUCCCCCUUCUUAAUGUGUUAAAAUUCCAAAGAACAUCAACAAGAAGCAAGUCCAUUUCUUGCCACUUGGUAUGGUGAGUCAUUUAGCUUAUUAAUUAGCUAGAUUCCAAAAGUAUUUAAUGCAUUCUUAUCUUCAAACCAAGAAGACUAUAGAUUGGCUUGCUUCUUAAGUUGGGCGUGCAGCCUCCUUCCCCUCUAAUUUGGGUGUGCAGUUCUCCCAUUCUAAGGCAAAAAUAAUUUUGAAAAACUUUCGAAAUUAGUGCCAUUAUCUUAUCAAACAGGCUUAAAAAAUUAUAAAAUUUUAAUAUGUUAUAGAGAAGAACAUGAGGAAUCCAAGCCAAAUUCAUUAUGUGAAAAGAGCAGCAAAUCAUUAAACACAAUCCAAAAAUUCGUCCAUCGAGCAGAUUCAAUGGUCAGAGAAAGAGACUUAUUUCGAAAUCAAAGUCUUCACAAAACUUGUUGAAAUUUUAAUAUAUUGUAGAUAUGAAUGUUAUUUAAAAUUCUUGUAAAGGAAGCAUGUCCAAAUUCAAAAGAAAGAUUUUAUAAAACUUCAAGAAAGCAACGUGGUUACCUUUUUCAUUAUAUUAAGCAGGUUCUAUAUCAUAAUUGAUUAGGCCUUUGUCCCAAUCAUUUCACCUCAGAAAAAUUUGAAAUUUAAUUAUAUGUUAUAGCUCAAGAGUUUUGAACAACUUUCAUAAAUGAAGUUUCUCCAAAUUCGAAGCACAAAGAACUCUAUAAUAAGAAAGUGGGAAAGGUCCAGCAGUUUCAAAAAAUUGGGAAAUCAACACUUAUGAAACUCAAGGUGGCAAGUCUAUGGAGAGAGGUCGCGCCCUAUUAAGCUUGUAAGAUCACUUGCCAUCAUUCUUUUAGGCCAUGGGACACCCUCUUUCUUUCAUUACUUGAGACACAUAAACCUCUACACUCAUUAUCUUUAUUUAAUGCGUUUCCCACUUGUUCACACUUGUUUUCUAAGAAAAUAUGACUAGUCCAAGUUUCAUACUUGUCUUCCAAGGCUAAGGCUGCCAUGUGUCCAUCUCAGUCGAUGCUCUUUAAUUAACUAUAAGACAAGGGCGUUAAAUGCAACUUGGAAUAUCUUAGUUUUGAAGGCCUUGUCAUCAUGCAGGGACUAAUCAAGUUUGACCACAAUCGACUAUCUUAUUUGACCUGAAGUCCGUGCCUAAGACAUGAUCGGAAAAAGUGGACACAACCUGGCUUAACCGGUGAAACCAAGUAAGGGUGUGCAACGGAAACCGCUCGAACCGGAAUCGGACCGAAUGGGCUGGUUUUGGGCGGUUCCCACGAUCGGCGGUCCGGUUCCCGGUUCCUAAUCUUGGAACCGGCGGCCGGUUGGUCCGGUUCCCGAUUCCAAGGUGGGAACCGGACCGGACCAAUUUUUUUUUUAUAUAAUUUAUAUUCAUAUAAUAUAUAAACACGUAUAAUAUAUUAAUAUUAUAUAUGAAACUUAUUGCAAUCGGAAUUGCAAUUUAAGUAACAACCUCUUAUGUGGCCAAGAGACCACCAAAACUCUUGUUGAUACUCUUUAUUUAUAGAAAAAACUCUCCUCAUGCUCACACUCUCUCUUGCUCCCCUCACUUGCAAACGACAAGGCACUUCAAGCCUUAAAAAGUCUCAUAUCGACUAAACAUUCAAAGUAUAGAAGAGAGAUUGUCUAUAAAACCUAAGCCAAGCAAAACCUUUAAUCACGUUGUUCAUGGGUUUUAUGCUUAAAAUUAAGCAUGAAACACAUAAACUAUGAUUGAUAUUGACACAAGUGAAGUUUGAAUAUUUUGCACGUGGAAACAUGUGUGAGUAGUUUUAUUAGAUUGCUCGGAAACCGAAUUUGAUUGAUCGGUCCGGAGCAUGAUUAUUCUUUAGUGAAUGGACAUUCUCUAGUGAAAAAAUAAAGUGUCAAUUCUUUUGGAUUGGACCGGACCGGACCGGAACUGAUGGUCCGGUCUGGUUCUCGGUCCUAAGACCAACAGUUCGGUCCACGGUUCCCAAAAUUGGGAACCGAUUCACCCGGUCUGGUUCCCGGUCUGGUUCCCGGUUCGGUCCCGGUUCCACCUUGGAACCGGACCGAACCGGGAACUGAUCACCCCUAAAACCAAGUUCGGACUUCUCUUUUAUCAUGUAAAAGAGAUCUCUAAUGGUCCAAGGCCCAGGCCUUGGGCCAAUCAACUGAUCCUAGGGCUGGUUCUACAGCCAGUCCAAGGUCCCGUGCCGCAAAUCACGGCCCAUAACCAACCCUCGAGUCGAUUCAUGGCAUAUUCUUGCUAUCGACGUAGUAAUCCUUAACCUAUUAUUAGAGAUCAAAAUAAGGGUCGAAAUUAAGAAUGUUAAACAUAUAUACUAUCUUUGUCAUCUCCAACUGCAAAUGGAUUGCAUUCCGGUCCUUAUAGAUUGAGCUUAAGUGCAUUUUGGAUCUCAUGCAUCUUUUAUCAAUUACAAGAAGUGGUGUGCAUAAAUGCUUAGUGCCUUUUUUGUCAAAGAAAUAAAAGGAAAAAGAAUGACAUCUUCACGGGAACCCCAAACUACAAUUACAACAAAACCAUUACUUUGGAAGGGAUUUAGAAAUUAAACCAUCACUUGUCAAAUUCAAGUGAUGUCUCUUUUAUAUACAUGAAAAGGUUUAGCCUUGGGACAGCAAUAACUAAAUUUCCUUUAUCUCCUUCCCCUUUAGCCGCUCACCCAACUCACCUACGCCAAUGUCAACAAAUCUACCAGGGUAGGUGUUACGUGCAUGCGCAUCAGUUAUGUGUACAAAGAAUCUCCAAAUUACAAUUGCCAAUAUAAAAUGCAUCGGACGGCAGACUAUCCAAGAAAGUAAUGCCAUUGAAAAUUUUGUACCUAUAGAUCUUUCUAAAGUUGGCAACAGGUGGAAAACUAGAAAGUGUACUUAUCCCAAAGAUCAAACAAGAGAUGCAUGCAUCAAAUUCAUGCUAAUAUAAGUAGAAAAAGAAAUUGUGUCUAAUCAAAUAUUUGAAAGAUAGCAUACUGAUAUCUGAAAUUCAAUAAAUGAUGGUGCACAUACUUUAACCAAAGAUCAGAUACAAAGAGCCCCCAUAUCAGGUGGCCCUCCAUCAGAUCCACUAUAAAGUGCAGAUGCGUUAGACCCUCUCUUGCCUUGCUUCUUUUUCCUUUCUAUCUUAUCUGGAUUCAAGAGCUUGAUCACUGCAAAACAACAUUUAGACAUAAAAAAGGAGAAAUCUUCAGUGCUGUCUUUGUUCUUGUAAGUAUAAAUUUAUAUUACUCAUGUAUGAACAUUUUUUCCAAAGGGAAUCCAUUAUUCGACAAAGUGCAGGAGUGAGAAAAUAUUCCAGACUUGAAGUUAAGUAUGAUACAAUGUUGGAUACAUAAGCCAUAAUUUCAAGAUACGUAUAAACUUCAAUCACACGGAAACAGGAAAUAUACAUCAACAAAGGACAAGCUUAAACUAUAACUUGACAUAUAAAGCACUGACAGAAUAAGAAAUACUUGGAAAUUGCAGAGACUUUCCCUGUCCCUGACUCGCAACAGGACUUGUAUUUCUUUUUUGAACCACAUGGACAAGCCUUGUUUCUUGGAAUUUUCUGCAUUUCAAGAUAAAUCAAGCAAAUAAAAAUGAAAGGGUGCAUCACCAAUAGUUCUCAUGUUUGAGCUUAAACCAAAAUGGUAAAGGAGGUAAUGUAAUCAUCUUUUGCGGAGACCUUGUCUUCUCGCUGGGCACUGCCAUCAUCAUGAGUCCGUUUAGCGCUAUUGCUAGGUGGAUUUUCUUUAUUGGUCUCUUCCACGGGUUCCUCUCUCUGUUCCUCAGAAUUUCCACUAGCAUCAUCACCUAAAUACCACAAAGAAUUAUGAAAUAGUUUUGGGUGUAGCAUGUUUGACUACCCAAAAAUCCAUGGUUGACCAGUUGCAUCAAAAUGACACCAAACAAGCUUCUCGUGAAGCUCAACACAGUAUCUCCGAAACUGCGAAGUUAAAUUAUUAAAGAAAAUCAGAGAGAUAAAGACUGACCAGCCAUUACCAUGAGAAACAUCUGCAUUGCAGGGAGACUGGACAGUUUCCUCUGAAAAAUCUUCAAUGCCUUUUUCUGCUAUCGAAUACUCCAUGGCGGCAUCAACAUCCCCAUAAAUUUGCAGCACUGUCUGUAAAAGUAUCACAUCGCAUAGAAGUCAGAAAAAGGUCCAAAACAUUGCAUUGUAAUUCUAGACACCCAGCAAAUGAGAGGAAAGCAUUUAAUGCAAACAAGCAAGCAGAAGAAAAGAGGACAUAACCUGCUCAGCUUUCUCAAUGUUCUCACAACCACUUCCAGCCAUGACUAGCUUGAUGGAUCCUGCAUCAGUAAUAUCCCUACCAGCUCCUGAUUUAGACUUGCUUGACCCAGCUUUUGCUUGGCAAGAUGACAACGAGAGAUUAGAAUCUGUCUUUCAGCAAAAGAAAUUAUCAAAUCACAUACUUAAAUUCACAAAUUUGUCCAACUUCCCUACUUAGUAAAUUAAAAUUAGAUUCCAGUAGAAACCUUGAUUGUAAUUGGCCUAGCUGGCCCAUCUCUGGUGUCUUCCUUCAACCUCACACUGUUGUAAUGUUCCUCGUCAUGAUAAGAUCUAAUAAAGAAAAGCAAAAUAUAUAAGUUCAAAUAAUGAAACGCCAUCAGUACAAAAAGACUAAGAUUUUCCCUAUCCACAAAACAAUAAUGGCCCAACGCACAUUUUUAAUGCUUACUGGCUUCGCAUGAUGACACUUAUCGAGGAUAGUAAAGUGUGGAAUAUCAUAUAUCCACUAAAUUUCAUGACCCUUGUGACAAUCCAAAGUCACAAUCGCUACCUAGACAGAUCCAAUCCAUCUCAAAUUAGAAUCUCCAAAGAUGCCAUUCAUUGAAGGAUUAUGCAUGGGAAUUUCAAUAAAAUAAUUUAUUGAAGAAACAAAAGCUAAAGUGACAUUUCGGUCUCCUACGACACAUGCUUAGCCAGUAAUUUAUCCCCCUGUAGGCUAGAACAAUGCAGGUAACUUUUAAGUCCAGCUUCCUCCUGCACCAAUCAGUUUAGGCCAAGAUACACCAUCCAAAUCACAGCAAACACUCAAAAGGUUUUCCUCUCUAGUAAAAUAAGGAUGUCAAAUUGCUCAGGUGAUCAUUGUGUUGGUAUAGCUCUAUGCAACUGUGACUGUGAGCUGAACAUCAUCAGGAAUAACCAUUGGCAGCAGAAAUGUAUGCUUCAAUGUAUAAUACCCAUUUUAACUUGGUUUUUUCUUCCAAAGGCAUGCUAUUUCAGUGUCUAUAUAAGUGUGAGAUCCAUCAAUACUUAACAGAAAAAGUUCAAGAACAAAAUAUACCAAAUAAAGUUCAAAUUAGGACCACUGAGCACUAAUACAAAUGAGGACGACAUCACCAUGUAAGAAAAAACCCCUGCAAACAUAAUUCCUACAGCUUGAAAAAGAGAAAUCUGCACUCCACAUACCAAUACGUACUGAACAACCAUACUCUGGCACUUCCCAUGUUCAUCUUCAUUGCCUUCCAACUGAUCUGCAAGGGCCCUAAUUAACAAGAGUAGACAACUAUGAGAAUUCCAACCAUGGCAAAGGCAUUUCUAUAAACAAAAGCUCCAUACAAGGCAGUAAGAUUACCUGGAGGAUGGAUCAUUCAAAUACUUGGAAUGAAAACAGGAAUGAGGAACAUGGUUUGUUUGUCCAGGACGCUGUACAAUGGUUAUGAAAUUUUACAAAGUAACUUAGUUGGAUUUCGGAAGUGACGAUCUAAUAUCCUCAAGACUAAGGUAGAAGAGCUACAUUCCCCGACAAAUAGGGCUCUUCUUCGAGAUAUAUUUCCAGAUGGCAGUGUCUCAAGCAGAAUGAUACAUCAUAUGAAAAUGCAACGGUUUUUCCAACAAAGGAAUUUCUAGCACAUUGAUGAUAGCAAUCCAGAACCAGUGUACCAUAAAAUGCGAUGCCACUAACCUUCUACAACAGAGUAAUACUGUUAUCAUACAAAACAAACCAAUUCCUGGAAACAUUCAAUAAAAAAUCAUGAACAAGUCGGUGAUGUUUUCUAACAAGGAACACAGACCUGAAAAAGGAAUUACCAUCUGCCGUCACCUGGACAAUUUUCAGGCCCAGAGCAUCAAGCUGAGCUCGGAACUGCGUGUUAUCCGCUUGCUUCCCCUGCUGUUUGACCUGUUCACCAACGCAUACCACAUUCACGCCCACUCAGAUUCUGAAAACAACCACCGACGAACACUCCAACCAAGAACUUAGGCAAAAACACCUCCACGAAAGCUCAAUUUCAGAGGCCUCGCCGCAACGAACAGAUUAUCGCAGCAAUUGAAACUUUCGAAUUUGUUCGGAGAUCAAAGGACAUGGCUUACGUGAGGCUGCUUCUUGGCGUUGGACUUGUGGUGCUGCUUCUGCACCAUCGCUGCGGAGAGAAAAUGAUCAAUGCCGCUGGAGGUGUUUCGAAGAGAAAUCUGAAACCGAGAGGAGAGAAUUCUUUCGGCACGUCGGUGGUCCGCCUUAAGAGCUCACUAUUCUUCGCGCUGAGCAGUCAUGUUUAUUUUCCUUGGCUUAUUCAAUAUAUAAGAUUUAUUUGUAUUUUCCGACUUAUGGAUCCGAUGAUUUAAUGGGUCAAAUGAUUGACCUGUGAAACAGAAGUCAAGUCAGUUAUUUGAUUAGUCAUAUGGCUCGUUUUUCAAGAAGAAAUCACGAUUUGAAAAAUAUUUUUUUGCUUAUGUUUUUUUUUUAUAAAAUAUAUGAACAAAUAAUACUUUCAUCAUUCACAAUGAAAUUUGGGUACAAAUUAUUAUUGAUAAUGAAAAUAUUUUUUGUCAGCUAAUUAUUUCGAGCAAUGUAACCGAUCUUUUUUUAGGAAAAUGUUUUCAAGACGUUUAUUUUUCUUAAAACAAACCAGCAAUUUAAAAAUACUACCAGCGAUUUAAAAAUACUAACUUUAUGUCUUUCUCAUGGAAAGUAUAUUCAAAAUGACAGUGACGUUUUGAUAGUGAUGUUUUGAUCAUCAAAGUUGCUAUGCAUUAAAAAGUCAACGUAAACAAUGAGGAGCGAUUACUCUCAUUUUCCUUUCUACUCAAGUUUUAAGCUAUUCUGUUUGAUUACUUCACUGAAUGUGUUAAUAAUAGGUAAAUGAAAAGGAUAAGUAAUUGCUAAUAGGAUUAUUCUAGGGGUGAUCGGUUCCCGAUUCGAUCCGGUUCCAAGGUGGAACCGGGAACCGGACCAGGAAAACUGGUUCCCAAUUUUGGGAACCGUGGACCGGACCAUCGAAUCCGGUCCGGUCCGGUUCGGUCCAAUAGGAUCGGCACUUUCUUUUUUCACUAAAUAACGACCAUUCAUUAAAGAACGACCAUGCUCUGGAUCGAUCAAUCCAAUUUGAUUCCCGGGCGAUCUAAUAAAACUACUCACACAUGUUUUCACGUGCAAAAUAUUUAAACUUCCUUGCAUGAACAUUAAUCAUAAUUUAUGUGUUUCACUCUUAAUUUUAAGCAUAAAAGCCAUGAACAAUUUGAGUAAAAUAUGUGCUUGGCUUAGGUUUUAUAGACAAUCUCUCUUCUAUGCUUUGAAUGUUUAGUCGAUGUCAGACUCUUUGAGACUUGAAGUGCCUUGUGGUUUGCAAGUGAGGGGAGCGAGAGAGAGAGAGAGUGAGCAUGAGGAACUCCUAGAGCCUUAUCCCACAUCGAGGAGAAGAUAAAACUAACAAAUAAAUUUUCUAAGAGCUUUGGUGAUCUCUUGGUUACAUAAGAGGUUGUUACCUCAAUUGCAAUUCCGAUUGCAACAAAUUUCAUAUAUAAUAUUCAUAUAUUAUAUGUGUUUAUAUAUUAUAUGUAUAUAAAUUAUAUAUAAAAAAAUUUGGUCCGGUCCGGUUGGUCCGGUUCCCACCUUGGAACCGGGAACCGGACCGCCGACCGUGGGAACUGCCCAAAACCGGUCGGUCCGGUCCGAUCCUAGUUCGGGCGGUUUCCGUUGCACACCCCUAGAUUAUUCUCGAAUUUUGACAAUGACACUAAUUUCCCCUGGAUUUUUGUUCAAUAUGCAAUAUGUCAAUGUCUUCCCAAAAUUUGUGAUUAGUGUAGUUAGGUUUUUUAACUUUCUCAAAUGUAUGAACUCAUCCAUGAACCAAAGUUCAAUCAGGUCUUUAAACUAUUUGUUUUUCAAUGUCAACGUGAUCCUUGUUUUCAAUUAAAAAAAAACUCCAAAUUAGUAAAGAACCACCACUAAUUCAAUACAAACAAUGUCAUAUUCUCCCUUAAAUUAUCAAUUAGAUCAGGUUAAAUUGAGAAUGAAGUAUCAAAUUCAAAACAUCCAUAAUUGCUGUUAGUGACUUUCCUCAUUCUUCUUGUCCGCGUACAAAUUUUAUGAGUUAACUAAAUUCUCUCUCUAGCUCUUCAGUAAAUAGCGUAGAGGCAAGCGUAUUGAUUUUUCCAGUUGAAUGGCACUAAUUUAGAUCAAAAGCCCAUUUUAGUAAAUCUAAUUAAAUUUUUAUUAAUUAAAUUAGAAUGCAUCUUAGAGAUGGGUUCAAAUAAAUUAAGCUUCUUGUGAUUUUUUUUUUUUUGGAAAAUAAAAAGAGAAAAAAUUACCAAAAGAGCGUUAGAGUGACCUUACGCAAUCAACUACUUGAACUCUGAUUCGCAAAAGUAAAGUAUUUCUCUUAAUACUUUACUUGGGUAUUUAAUCGACCAACCAUAAAUCGAUUAGUGGUGACUCUUAGAUAAAUAUCAUUUUCAUGCUAAAUAACUUGAACCUAAAUUACGAAUUGAUAUAAACUGGGGAGAGCUCGAGCUAAGUGUUUUUAGCUACUCUAUUUGAUUAAUUGAUCAUAUGUGUUAAAAAAAGGUAAAUGAAAAGGCUAUGCAAUUGCUAGUAGAAUUAUUCUUGGAUUUUGACAAUGACACUAAUAGUUCCAUGAAUUUUUGUUCAAUAUGCGUAAUGUCAACAUCUUCCCAAAAUUUUUAAUUGGUGCAAAUACAUUUUUUUCAACUCUGUUUAAUGUAUGAAGUCAUCCAUAAACUUUAAAUUAGUUCGAUCAGUCUUUAAAUUUUUUUCUUUUCGUCAAUGUGAUCCUUGUUUUGAAUAAAAGACUCCAAAUUAGUAAAGAGCCACUCAUUCAAUACAAACAAUGUCAUCUUCUCUCUUAAAUUUUUCAAUAGAGCAUGUAAGUUGAGAACGAAGGCCCAAAUUUAAAACAUCCAUAAUGUGAAUCAGAAAGUUUGUGACUUUCCUUAUUCUUCUUGUCCGCGUAUAAAUUUUGUGACUUAAAUAAAUUCUCUAUCAAAUGAAAUAAUGUGAAUUAGAAUGUUUGCUUAAAGUGAAAGUACAUUGAUUUUUCCGGUAUAAUGCCGAUGAUGUCCAACUGUAAAAGACCCCAAACUAGACAUGUGUGAUAAAUUUAUGUUAAAUUAAUUUUUUGAUCAUGAAAAACCCAAAAUUAAAACCAAAUCUCAAAAAACCUCAAAUAGCAGGAUUGAGCUACUGUUCAUCUUGGUGCUCUCAAGCUGCUCCCGCGUGCUCUGUUCACCGGAAGGGGCUGCUGUUGAUUCCGAUCAAUCCAGCCAUCCGGUGAGCCAAUUUUUUUGAAGACGAGCUCCAUCCAGAACUUUUCUUCCCCUUCACCGAGCGAUUUCGCCUGGUAUGUCUCCUCCUGUCAAGAAUCGCAUCACGCUCUUUUAGGGCUUCGAUUCUGCAGUUCCGCCCCUGCUUCAAAUGGCGUCUUCUUCGACUACGCCAGCUGGUUUAUUGGGCAAAGGCCCUCAAGAGAACCCUAAAGAUGGGUCUGUUCCUUCCCCCCCUCGCCCCUCCCAUGCUCGGUUCUCUUCGGUUGUUCGUGGUGUUCGUGGACGCUCGCGAAGUAGAGGACGUAGUCGAGCAAGGAAGUCUCGAGCUCUCCUGGGUAAUAUGCCCCCCCCUCCCCCCCUCUUCGAAUGUUGAUGGCUCCUCCUCCUCGUUGGGCCAGAAUGCUAAGGAAAAAUGGAUUCCUGGUAGUGAUUCGAUCGCUGCCCCUGUUCGACCGUCCUUUGCCCAGCGUGAGCAAGGCGAAGCUCCGGUGGUUGGUGCGACUAGAGCAGGGCUAAUCCGUCAAGCCCCCUCCUCUGAUGUUGCUGAUCAACCUCCCACCCGUUCGUGAGCUGCUGUCACUCGUUCGGCUACAAAAGGUUACAGCCUUUCCUAUAUUCCGCCUGCUACCAUUGAUAAUAAGGUUGUAGUGCAAAUUUCUGAUGAGAUUCUGCAAGCUGCUCACCCUAAAUUGGAUGAUUGUCUAGUUGGCUAUUAUAUUGGGAAGAGACUCCCGUUUAGAAUGACUGAGGAUGCACUUCAGUAUGCCUGGGGUAAUCACCUAGUUGAAGACAUUGUUGCUGAUCUGGGGUUUUAUUACUUUCACAUUCUUGACAAGGAGUUUAGGAGGAAAGUGCUAGAAGGGGGGCCAAUUACGGUUGCCAAAAUACCACUUGUCCUUCAGCAAUGGCACCCUUUCAUGAAACUCGAGAAAGAAUGCCAUAAAUCAGUUCCAGUUUGGCUCCGCCUUAGAAAUAUUCCUGUUAAUCUGUGGUCUGCUUCUGGUAUUAGUGCUCUUGCGAGUGCACUCGGUAAACCCCUCUAUGUUGACAGCCGUACUGAACAAAUGGCUAUGGUGGCUUAUGCCCGGGUUUGUGUUGAGAUCGAAGCUUCAAGUUCCUUCCCUGAAGCUAUUGAAUUUCUGCUGAAUGGAGACCUGAGAUCAGUGGAUGUCCAGUACAAAUGGCUGCCGAUGCUCUGUCCCAAAUGCUGUACUUUUGGCCAUAGAUGUGUUGAUCCUCAAGCACCUGCCCUCCCCAAAGUUGGAACUAAACUUUCUAAGGCCCCGUCGGCUAUUCCAUCUAGUGAGUGGCGAGAAGUUCGUGGAAAGCGGAAUGUUAGAAUCCCUAAUCCAGAUGAAGCUCCCCCUCCUGCUCGCUCGACUGAUCCUCCUCUCCGUGGAAUAGAAACUCGCCAUUCUGCACCGCAAGUGGUGGCUCCUAAGUUGGCAGCACCAGCGAAAAAUAAGGAAGAAGCUCCUCCCCCUCCUUCCUUUGACCUUUUCCAUGGUACGUCCCCAGUCCCUCCUCUUAUGGGCCAAGUAAAUGUGCCUGAAAAUAUUGUGCCAGAGUUGUCCUCAUCCUCGGAUGAAGAAGUUUUGGGGGAGAUCAAUGCUGGUAGCGACACAGACUCCCCUAGAAUGGUUGCUUCCUCUAUCCCAGAGGAGACUCUCCCUCCUCAGAUCCCUCCGGAACCCUCAGGGGGUGGCAUGGCCCACCAGAAAGGUACUACCCGAUCUGCCUCUAUUGAUGUGGAUAUUCCCCCACGCUCCAAACCUCUGCCCUCUUCGGUGAAGAAUCGUGGGGGCAAGAAGCGGUAACUAUCCUCCCUUUUUUUGAGUAUGCUUUUUGGAAUUUGGAAUAUUAGAGGUCUUGGGGCUCCUCUCAAGCAAGCUGAGAUCAGGAAUUUUGUUAAAUCCAAUCACCUUAGCUGUAUUGGUAUUUUGGAAACCAAGAUUUCCCCUGCGGUGUUCCCUGUGGUCUCCGAAGCCCUUCUUCCCGGUUGGAGUUGGUGCUCUAGUGUAUGUCGAUGAUAUUAUUGUCACAGGUGACAAUGAUGAGGAGAAACAGCAGCUAAAGCAGUGUUUGAUUAAAGAGUUUGAAAUAAAAGAGCUAGGAAGACUCAAAUACUUUCUUGGCAUUGAAGUUUCUUACUCUAGACAAGGAAUUUUUGUCUCACAACAGAAGUAUGUGACUGAUCUCUUGAAGGAAACUGGAAAACUUGGUUGUAAACCAGUAGCCACACCUAUUGAGCCUAAUAAAAAGCUUGGAGAUGCAAAGGAAGAAUGUAGAUCGAGAAGUGUAUCAAAAAUUGGUUGGGAAACUUAUCUAUUUGGCUCAUACUAGACCUGAUAUUGCCUAUUCAGUAAGUAUGAUUAGUCAAUUUAUGCAUGACCCAAGAGAAUCACACUUACAAGCCGUCAAUCGAGUGCUACAUUAUUUAAAAGGAAGUCCCGGAAAAGGAGUCCUAUUAAGAAGAAAUCAAAAACUGAUGCUGCAAGCUUAUACCGAUGCUGACUAUGCAGGAUCUAUAGUGGAUAGAAGGUCAACAUCUGGUUAUUGCACAUUUCUUGGCGGAAAUUUAGUGACUUGGCGGAGUAAAAAACAGAAUGUAGUUGCAAGAUCAAGUGCUGAAUCAGAAUUUCGAGCAAUGGCCCAAGGAAUAUGUGAGCUAUUAUGGCUUAAAAUCAUCCUAGAAGACUUGAAGAUCAAGUGGGAGGGUCCUAUGAAGCUGUAUUGUGACAAUAAAUCAGCAAUUAAUAUUGCUCAUAAUCCUGUACAGCAUGAUAGGACGAAGCAUAUUGAAAUUGACAGGCAUUUCAUCAAAGAAAAGAUAGAAGAGGGGUUGAUCUGCAUGUCCUACAUACCUUCCGGAGAUCAACUAGCUAAUGUGCUAACCAAAUGACUUAAUGGUGGGAUCUUUCAUGAAAUAAUCUUCAAGCUGGGAAUGGAAGACAUCUAUUCCUUAGCUUGAGGGGGAGUGUUGAAUUAUCCUGAUUUUUAGGAUCUGAUUAUUAGGAAUAUUCAAUCCUGAUUUUUUGGGUCCUAAUUAUUAGGAAAUAGCUGUAAAUAAUUAGUUAGGAAAUGAUUUAUUAGUAUCCCUUGAUUUGUGGGAUUAUAGCUGUAUUUUACAGAUCUGUUUUUUCCUAGUUAGUACUUGUAGAUGUCCUAUAAAUAGUUUUGUAAUCCUGGUACAAAAAUAUUGAGAAUUAUCACAAUUCUUUUCUCUAAGUUCUUCAGAAACAACUUGCAGUAUCUUUUCCUUUGCACAGCGACGGAUUUUCCAAAAAGCAUCUGUUGAUGCGUGAACAUGAAUGCCGCUGACACAUUGGCAAUGCCAAACCACAUUGACGUCUUGAGUGGCACCAAUCAACUUCAUUAGAAACAGGCCAAUAGGAUGUAACUUUCCUUCGUUCUCUAUAGAGGUACAUUCUUUGCCAAUUUUCUGUUUUAAUAACUGAGGAACACAUGUUUCGGUUUAUUUUUGCAUGUUUCACUCACGACUGCAGGAUUUGCCAAGACAAUCUUGUUACGCCCUCUACUCUUUGUUUCUUGACACAAAUAUAAUCAUACUAGCAUGCAAGCAAACAAUUGUUUAGUGUGGUGUCUGGAUGCUCUUGAGUUAAGUAGAUGUUAAUGGUGAUAAAUUUACUUUGUACCACAGAUCUGCAAUGCAGACCUUAUUCACCAAUAUCACGGACCUAAAGAAAACAAAAGGACUUUAUAUUUUUGUUGGGGGGAAGAAGAGAGGGGAGGCGGAGGGUUCAAAAAAUUAUGUUAUAAAUCCUGAUUAGCUUGUUGCGUAUAUGCUUGGGGAGAGAUACUAGUUUUCUUUUAUACUCUUUUGCUAACACAAUCUGAUCCCUUCAGUCUGUGAUAGUUACUUUAAAGAAGAUGCAUGCGUAGAAGUGGCUGGUACUUGAGGCACUUUGAAUUAAUAGCCAGGAAUAUUUGUGGCAAGCUGGUGACUUAGAUUAUCAUCGCAGGUAUAUUACAUAUCUGGGUUAUUUGCUCUUCUUCCUACAUGGCAUAUAAUAGUGAAAUUAUUUGCAUUGCUUCUUGCUAACUAAGCAACAUGGCAGCAAGUGUAUGAAAGCUACUUGCAGUAUCUUUUCCUUAGCACUGUGAGGGAUUUUCAGAAAAGCCUCUGCUGAUGGGUGAACAGACAUUCCCAAUGCCAAAUCACGUAGAUGUCUUGAGCGACACCAACCAACUUUGUCACAGUCAGGCCCAAAUGAUGUAACUUUCCGUUGUCAUUUCUACUGCAUCAGUUGGUUUACUUUCCAGACCAAUAGGGUUUGCCUCUCAACGGAGGCACAUUUCUUGCCCUUUUUAUCUGUUCAAUUACUGAUUAGGGAACCCAUUUUUCUGUUGUUUUUGCAUGUUUAACUUAAGGCAGCAGGAUUGCCUGCAGAGCCUGCUUCUUGUCACGCUUUCUACUUUUUGUUUUCUCACAUAAUCAUAGUAGCAUGGAAGCAUUUGGGAGACUGUUCUUUGAGCUAAGCUCACGUGUGGAUAUCAUAGCUGAUAUGAUCGAUUGAACUCGGAAAAAGGAACCUGUACAGCAAAAGGAUUGACUCGAAGUUUUGUAUAUGUAACAAGAGGAUUAACACAGCUGUCUCUAUUGUCCAUUUCCUUGUCUGCAAAAGCAGAUCCAUGGGCUUAGCCAUUGUAGCAAAGCCACUUUAAUGGUGAUGGUUUUGAUACUCCUCCUAGACUAAAACCGUGUGCAAGUGCAUGAGGCGUCACUUUCAAAAGAAGCUUUUUGAUUUUUUCACUGGAAAUCCCGUAAGUUUUUGUCGUGAGCAUGGUGUAUCCAGCUACUAGAUCGAGAUGAGUAUGAGCAUUCUUUGCCCUGAGUUGUAAUUACAUUGACUCUUCUCAUAUCAAUCCUUGUCCUAGUUAGAUAUCAAUAUCAAGCAAAAGGCCUUGAUACCUUCAACCUUUGCAAGAAUUCAUAGUGCAAUCUCUAAGAGCACAUCAUUUACAAAAUAGCUUUAGGCUCUAGGCCAUCAACGAAGGAAUAAAACGAACAUGAAGACAUUAUUGUGAGGGCAUAGCCAAACAGCUGCACGUUACAGAGUUACAAACUCAAUGAAUUGCUCAAUGCAAGCAAGCAAUGCAUACGAGUGUUCUCUUACCAAGUGAAAGUGCCUUGCAUGAGAGGAUAGUAGUUAUCGUAGAGCAACAUGCAUGCGCGAGGAAUGUUUUACCAUAUAAUUGCAUUAACUGAAUUUCAUAAUCUGAGGCAAUCGAUACAAAUGUGACAUCUGGAUCCUCGUUUAGUAAAAUCAAGCACUCUUAGGAUACUGGGCCAUCAUCACUGUAUCAUGACACCGUUGUACCAAUCCACCACAUCACCUAGCCGCCACCGUCGCGACGCCACUACGGCGCACGCUGAAUACCCUUCGGACCUUAGCCGUUUUUUCUUGAAAUUUGCCAAAGUGGAUUUAUUUGAGCCCAAGAGGGAAUUACGCCCAUGAAGAGGUAAAAGGCCAAAUUGACCAGCCCAAAACCAGCUGUUCAAUUUUUGAGCUGUUGACUUGGUGAAUUGAAAUUCACCACCAUCAACUACGUUAAACCUCAAAGUCGCUAGCCGUCUCUCAUACAAAACUUGGCAAUUAACCAAAGAGGGUUAAGCCAAAGCAAGCCACGUACUUGCAAUUUUGGCAAGCUGUCAAGAAGAUGCAUGAGGAUUUCCACCUAAAGUCCAUGUUCAACCCCACGUGCCACCUCCCUAGGCAGUCACGGUAAGAAAUGUUAACCAAGGGAGACUUCCAAAGGCAGCAGAAAGUGGGUAUAAAACCAGCCUUUCACCCAUUUCGUUGGAGUUGGAGCAAAACCCUCACCAAUUUUCUUCUUCUUCGUUCCCCUACCAGAGCAUCAUAGCCCCUCAUUUCAUUGCGCCACGACCACGAACAGCCCUCAUUCUACCAGCUUGACAUCAUACAGCUCGUGUCAUUUGCCAGCUUGAAGAUGGUGGUAGCUGAACCUAAAUAAAUUAUAGUUAUUGAAGUUCUCAAAUUUCCAUUUACUUCCUGGUAUACCGUUUCUGUGAAUUUCUUGUAGAACCGGUAAUACAUUAAGUUGAGAAAAGUUCCCAGGCAAGUUAAAUUCUUUUGAUAUCGUAUAUUUUAUGUCUAGGAUUCUGUCGAAUGGGUAAUGGUAGAUUCACGUGAUAUAGUCUAGCAGGCUUUUGCUUGUAGAGUGUUGUGCCCGCCCUUGGUGGAUUAUCAUUUUUUUAGACCAGUAGAUAUGUCUUUGCUACCUAUGUCCUCCAUGAUCCUCUAGGGUGUCCGGACAUAUCUCACAUGGAAUCAGACAAAGCAUAUAGACCUCGACUUCCCUGAGGUCGCUUUCAUUCGGAUCAUCACAAUCCGACAGUCAAUGCUGGUCCGCCAUCAAACCCGAUGUUGAUAGGGUUUCUUGCCAUCUAUGCCAGGAUCAGUGGGAGUGCAGUGGGGCCACUUACACUCCCAAACAGCGAUGACGAUAGAGACAGCGAGAUCGAGUAGAUGAGGGCCCGGAGGACAAGGGUGGCAUUUUUGGCGAGACCAGCACUUGUUAUGUUGGCGGCCGUGUAGAGAGACAAUAGGGUGGUUUAAGCAGUAUUUUGGAUGGAAUUUUGGAUAUAGCCUGGAGAAGUUUUGAUCCCCAGUGUACCGACCUAGGUUGCCUAUAAUAUAUAAAUAAAGAAAUGAAGGUGCCUGGUUCUAUAUUUCCACGUGCGUUGGUUGAAAUUAUGGUAUACUGAUUUGUUGUUACACGUUUUCGCAUGCUUAAAAAUGGAAAGAAUUGGAUAGUCACGCUAGUAGUGACGUGUUGGGGGGCGAGGGUGGCAUUUUUGGUGAGACUAAGACUUGUUAUGUUGGCGGCCGUGUAGAGAGACAGUAGGGUGGUCUGAGUAGUAUUUUGGACGAAAUUUUGGAUAAAGCCUGGAGAAGGAACGUUUUGAUCCCCAAUGAAUCGACCCAGGUCAGCUAUACUAUAUAAAUAAAGAAAUGAAAGUGCCUAAAAAAAAAAAUCUCUCCUUGUCCUGCCCUCAAUGAGCCUAAGCUUACAACUACCAAACCUGUCCGAAUCCACAUCAUCCUGAGUCAACUUGGUUUCAUUGAAUCAUCCAAGGAAUACUGAUGCACAAAACACUAGUCAAAACGUGCAAAGUUAAUCUAGCACAAAUGGGUACAUGUCUAAUGCGACUUGAAACUCACAUGGCCACACACAGCUCAUCAAAUCGACCAUGGCUUUGACUACUACCAUAUCACGUCGAGAUUGACCUCCUUGAGUCCGGAGAGGACUCGCACCUAAACCGGAUUGACUUUGUGACAUCAUGACCUAGCGAAGGCUGACGCCAACUUUGCCGAUGGUCAUUGCGGCUCGCAGCCUCACAAACCAAAACCAAUGCCUACUGCACCAAUGGUCAUCAUGGUACAUGACUAUACUAGUCAAGAUCGAACUUAACUUAAGCGACAUGAACUAAACCAUGACCACAACAGCAACUCCACGGAUGCAAGCCCAAUUUUGUUGACUCGUAUCACGAAAAUCCAAGGAAUGGUAGCCUCACGUAAUAUAGAAGAAUAGGACUUCUACUUGCCUCAAUGCUCGUCGACAAUAGCUAAGAUGGCACAACAGUGAAUGAUGCGAGCUGUAUGAUGUCAAGCUGCCAGAAUGAGGGCUGUUCGUGGUCGUGGCACAACGAAAUGAGGGGCUAUGAUGCUCUGGUAGGGGAACGAAGAAGAAGAAAAUUGGUGAGGGUUUUGCUCCAGCUUCAACGAAAUGGGUGAAGGGCUGGUUUUAUACUCACUUUCUGCCACCUUUGGAAGUCUCUCUUGGUCAACAUUCCUUACCGUGACUGCCUAGGGAGGUGGCACGUGGGGUUGAACGUGGACUUUUGGUGGAAAUCCUCAUGCAUCUUCUUGACAGCUUGCCAAAAUUGCAAGUACGUGGCUUGCUUUGGCUUAACCUUCUUUGGUUAAUUGCCAGUACGUGGCCUCGGUGAGGAUGCUGGAAGGGAGAGGGGAGCUUUGUCCUUGUUUUGACUAGCGGACGGACCGAGUCUUAUCAAAAGCGUCUUAGCUGGUGCUGCUGCCUUCCUCCCUUGCCUUGGAGAGAUGAUGAUCAUCAUCAUCAUCGUUCAUAAAGCAACCGGCAUCCGUGAUGGAGAAAUCUCUUGCUUCGAUCGUCGCGGUUGGUUCGCGGGAUGAGGAUUGAAGUGGUGGAGUGAUGAUUCCGGUAAGGAAAAUUGUCCAAAGAGUGUUGAAUACGCUCUACUUUUUGUCAAUUCAAUUCUCGACACUUCGAUUUUACCAAUAGAGUCGUGCACAUUUUCACGUUUUGUUAAUUGAGUCAAUAUAAUCAAUUUUGGGUGAAAAUUACUAAAAUGGACUCUAGCCGUUUUAUAUAGCAUGUCCGGUGCAAACAUGGACAAUUAUUUUAUAAUAUUUAAAUAUAUCUUGAAUAUAAUUUUCUCUUUUAUUCUUCUUCUUCUCUUCAUUUUCUUCUUUUUCUUUUAUGUUUUUCCCCAUUUCCCUUCGCUAACCAACACCGAGCCUUAAGUGAGAGCCACUCAGGCUUGGGUUGGGAGGGUCACCCUUGCUUGGGCGAACGUGGACUGCCCUCAUGCCCAAGCCUGAGCUGGCGAGGGUCACUCUUUCUUGGACAGGCAUGGAUCACCCCUGCCUGAUUCAACAAGGGUGGCUUGAGCGUCCUUCACAUGAGGAUGGCGAGGGCAACCCUUGCCUAAGACUAGCAGCCUCCAUCGGCCAUCAAUGAGGCCUCAUGGAAGGAAAAAGGAAAAAGAAAAGAAGAAAAAGAGAAAAAAAAAUUAUUAUUAAAAAUUAUCAACAUCGGUCGAUCAAUAUUCACAUCAGUGAUUUCUAACCAAAAUUGACCGAAUUGAGUCAUUUGGCAAAAUAUAAAAAAAAAUAUUUAUGACUUAAUUGAUAAAAUUAAAAAAUUUAGAACUGAAUUGAUAAAAAGAAAUAUAUUCAAGAUUUUUUGGUCCACGUCCCUUAUUUCACGUUUGGCGUGAUCACAUCAUCAGAGGAUAUGGGCGUCCCGAUGAGAGCAGCCAUUCUUGGAACAAAAAGAAAAUAAAUAAUGAGAGCAACCAUGAUUGGCAAUUCUUACCGUGGGGGAAGGAGUGGACAUCACCUUCCUUCCAAAAGACCCCAUAUUUGAUUCUUUUUUUUUUUUGGUCGGAAAUUUCCUUUCAAGUGUACCUUUUUUUUUUUUUUUGGCAUCUCUCUUACUUCUUUUUGGGGGCACAUUUGGCAGUUGACUUCAAUCCGUUUUGAAUUCCCACAUUGUUUUUUUUUUCCUUAUCAGGAUAAAACGUAAGAUUUAAAAAUAUCAAUUCCAUUAACUAUAAUGGCUUGCUCAAAUGAUUCAGGUGUUUAUCCUCCUUGCACAAGAUCAGGAUUCAAAUCAUCACACUUGUACAUUUUUUUGGAUUUACUUCAGAGACUACAGACUUGUGUGUCGUGGUAAUUGCCCGAUGAAUAUGAAAUAGGGAAUUGCCAUAUCUCGCAGGGAUUAGUCAGGUACUCAAAAUAAUCAAACAUUCUAUUAACAUCCAUUCCGUUUUCAUUUCGUUUGUGUUGUGUCAUAGUAAGGAUAGGCUCCCCAUCGAUUGGUUCAAGCUUAUCAAUAAGAUUUGUUUAGAUCCCCUUUAAGGGUCAUUGGAUCUAUGCAAGUCCUUAAAAUGCUUCAUCCUAGUUCAAUUUGGACCUUGAGACUUAAAAAAUGUAAAGCACCUAGAGGCUAAUCCCUCCUUUCGGAGAAGACAAACAUAUAGAGGGUAAAUUGGCGAGAGUUAGGCAAGUAGGCACCAGUACGUUAAAAUAAGGAAUACAAUCUUAUCAACCCAUCUGGAUUGCCAGGCAAGCAGGGUGGCCCCAACUAGGAGCUUUUUUUUUUUUUUAGUUGGUCAUAUUUUAUUCCUAUUUUAACUCUCACUCUCAGACUUUUGUCCUAUCUUCUUACAAUGUGUGGGAGUUCAAACCUAUUCCUGAAACUAAAUCGUUCACACCCCAACCCUCUUAAAAAGGUGGGGAUUUGAACCUCUCACCUCCUCUUUCCAUGUUGGAAGGGUGGCCACUGGGGCAAAUCCAUGAUGGUUGAGAGCCGUGGACUGGAUCGGCAGCGACAGAGAACCGUGAUGGAUGGCAAGGUCAUUCGGGGAGGUGGCGAAAGGGAGAGCAUGGGGUGGCAAGGCUGCUCUCAAGGUAAUGGCAGAAGGAGCCAACUGCGGGCCGUUGCAAAGGGAUGAGAUGGCAAAUAUGGCAUAGGAGAGAAGACGCCCAUUAGGACUAGAGGUGGAGAUUCGACGGUACACGCAUCACGUGCCAGAGAAGAGACGAUGAAGGAAAACAUGUACUUGGUCCUUUUCAAUAUUGACCUGAAUUCACCAAGUUUCUCGAGAGCUAAAUAAGGAAUUUCAGUUCAUAUCUGAUACUAAUUAAAAGUUAAUGCAUCUCUUUCAUAGAUUUUGGAUCAAUCAAGUGAGAAUGAUCGAUCGAGAUUUUGGAGGAUGAUUUAUAAAGGACAUGAAAAUUGCUUAGUCGCUCUAGGGAGAGAAUGAACACUGUAGCAUGUGAUUCAUACCGCAUGUGCCGUUUUGACUUAAAGGCUAGUGUGAAUUAUAUAUGUUAAAUUCAAAGAUAUUGUGAUCCUUUGUAGAAGACCUUUCGGAGAUAUUAAUGCCUCAUAUAAUAUCCUUAGGACUUUCUACUACUUUUCAAAAUCUUCAUCCAGUGACCUAUAUACAUUUUAUAUGAUAAAUUUAAGAUUUUUUACUACAUUUCAAAAUUUCGAUCCAAUGACCAAUACAUAUAAAAAUCUCAUAUGAUAUAUGCAUAGGCUUAUUCAAUAUAUAAAACCUAUUUGUAUUUUCCAAUUUAAUGCGUUAAUCAUGAAUCGGAAGUUAAAUAUGCUAUAUGAUCAAUCUCAAGGUCCGUCUAUUUUGUGGCAAAAUCAUGAUUUGGAAAAUAUUUUCCUAAAUAUGAUCGCUUAUAUCACAUAAAAAAAUAUAUGAAUGAAAAAUAUUUUUAUCGUUCACAAUAAAGUUUAAGCAUAAAUUAUUAUAAAUAAUCAAAACAUUAUUUGUUGUCUAAUUAUGUCAAGUGAUAUAAUCAAUUACUUUUUAGGAAAAUGUUUUCCAAAUUGUUUAUUUUCACUAAAUUAAUCCUUGGUUUAAAAGGAGUUGACUUUAUGUCAUUCUCAAAAGAAGUACAUUCAAGAUAAUAGUGAUGUUUUGAUGAUCAAGAUUGUUAUGUGUUAAAAGGUCAAUGAAGAAGGUGAUAAGCGAUUUCUCUCUUUUUCCUUUCUGCCAGGAUAAGUACACUAUCAGUGCCAUAAGUUGUGUACGGCGCUCACUUUGGUGCCAAAAGUUUCUGUCGAAUCACUUAAGUGCCAAAAAGUUUGAAAAACGCUCACUUUAGUGUCAACUCCGAUAUGGUUGGCUGGAAAUCCAACGUGGUACAUUUUUAUUAAUUUUUGAAGCUGAUGUGGCUCGUCAAAGAGAACAGUUAGCAUCCUAACACCAAAAUGACGCCGUUUGGUAUCUCCCCCAAUUCAAAACCCUAAAUCUCUGGCCAGUCGCCGUCCUCGACGGCCCUCGCACUCGGCGGCCGUGGCUCCGACCUUGACCUUGACCCCGACGAUGGCCACUUGGCGGCCACAGCUUUGACCCUGACCUCGAUCGUGACAAUGGCCACUCAGUGGCUGCGGCUCUGACCGCAACCCCGACCCUGACAAUAGCCACUUAGCGGCCGCGGCUCCAACCCUGACCCCGACCCCUACCCUAACCCCGACGACGGCCACUCAGCGGCCAAGUCGAAGGUCGUGAUCUAGCUGGUGCUCGGGUAGGCCACUGAUGAGUGCGUCGCCAUUGAUGUCUCCCUCUCCAUCUCCGAUCUCCUAGACAAGUGCCUAGCCUACGUCUUCUAGUAUCUAGGCUACGGCGACUGGGGCUAGUGCUCCCUCGUGUGUUGUCGAGGGUGUCCGAACAGCGCCGAGCAAUAGCGGCCGAGCGAGCGAUGGGGGCCCAACGACGGUGGAGGCCGAACGACGAUGGCCGAGCGAGCUAGGUCGGAAAAACCCUAAUUUCAAUCCCCAAAUAAAAAAAAAAAAUCUCCAAAUGAGUUAAAUGUCAUCAUUUUUGUGAGGCCAUCCAUGUAGGAUGGCAAAACCACGUCGUUGACCGAAAACGACGUCGUUCGAAGGCGUUGUUGAUUUCUUUUUUUUUUUUUUAUAAAAAAAGUCACAUAAUUAUUUUGGUCGGAAUCUUUCGUUUGUGGUAUCAAAGUGAUCGUUUUUUCUCCGAUUUAGCCCUUAAGUGAUUCAACGGAAACUUUUAGAGCACCGUACACAACUUAUGGCACUGAUAGUGUACUUCUCUCCUUUCUGUUGUAGGUGCCAACUACUUUAUUUAAUUACUUUACCAUACAUGUUACAAAAAGGCAAAUGGAAAGCAUACAUAUUGGCUAAUAGGAUUAUUCUUGGAUUGUGACAAUGACACUAUUAGCCCCUAAAUUUUCGUUCAAUAUACAAUGUCAAUGUUUUUCCAGAAUUUUUAAUUAGUGCAAUUAGGUUUUUUAACUUUGUCUAGUGUAGGAAGUUAUCCAUCAACUUUAAGUCGAUUCAAAUAAUUAUCUAAAGUAUGUUUUUAAUGUCAAUGUGAUCCUAGUUAAAAAGAAAAGCUUCUAAAUUUAGUAAAGAACCACUCAUUCAAUAGUCUUGAUGGAUAAUUGUAUGCAUGCUCAUACGUACUUAUAGAGCAGGUAGAGAAUUCUACAAUAUCUCAAAAUAUAGAGGGAUGUCACGAUUUUUCCACCUUCCAUCACUCACCCAAUGCCAACCGCCCCUUCUCUCUCUUGCUCCCCAAUUCUACAAGCAAGUGGAUACAUAUGUAUCUAUCUUCACGGUAGUUGUUUUAGACCUUUAAAAUGUCAGAACACAAGUAUAAUCCGAUAGUGAUUUAGAUUGAUGUUCGUGUUAGCAAAUCUGAUUAAUGCUUAUUAAUGCAAGAUUACUAUUGAAUGUUUUCAUAAAGUUCAAGCACUUAACUAAUCCAAUGAAAAGUGCAAACAUGACGUUACAUAUAAUGUAAAGGGUUAAUAUUUUAGGUGAGCAAAAUUCCGGGGUAGAAUCUGUAAUCGAAAAAUCAGACCUUUAGGAAAAUCAUAUUAUAGUUUCAAGGUAUGUAGAGUAGGUUUUAAAUUUCAAAGAUUAAGGAAUUUAUUUCAAUGGAUAAAUUUCAAAUUCCAGAUAGUUGGUACAUAGAACUUGGAAAUAAGUUUUUGUGUUUUUCUUGAUCUUUGUCUUCGUACAAUUCUGUGAUAUUCCAUCGUGUCCAAUAAUUGAGGGUUGUUAGCAUGACUUAUUUUGGUAACAUCCCUUAGCUAGAUCUAAGAGAGGACCGGUGACUACCCUUGUCUGCGUUCGAUGAAGGUCAUCGACAAUGCCAAGUCCUGGCAUUAUUUAUUUAAAAUUGUCAUGAUUACUUCAGGUCUUUAUUUAAAAUUAUUAUGAUUAUUUUUUUUAUCUUUAUUUAAAAAGAAAAUUCAAUUCAAAUUCUUAUAUUAAAAAAUAAAGGGUUAAUACCUUGAAAAACCCCAAACUGGUACAUCUGUGACAAAUUUACCCCAAACUAUUUUUUUGACCGCCAAAAACCCCAAAUUGGUAUACCUUUGACAAAUUUACCCUAAACUGGUACAUUUAUGACAAAUUUACCCUCUGUUAAUUUUAGUUUAAUUUUCUUGUUAAAUUAUAAAGUUAAAUAACACGUGACAAUUUACUGGUAUAUCAAUUUGGGAUUUUACACUCUAUUUGUCACAGUUUAUAAUUUUUGUGAUUUUUUUGUGGUAUUAAUCUAAUCUUUCGGAGGGUAUAUUAGUAACAAAUUUACUAGUUUGGGGUUUUUUGUAGUCGAAUAAAUUAGUUUGGGGUAAAUUUGUCAUAAAUGUACCAGUUUAGGGUUUUUUAUAGUUAGUCGGGGUAAAUUUGUCACGGGUGGUAUGAUCAAAAAAAUAGUUUAGGGUAAAUUUGUCACAAGUGUACCAAUUUAAGGUAAAUUUAUCACAAAUGUACCAGUUUAGGGUUUUUCAUGCACUUUGUUCCCCUACUUCAAAUUUUUCACUGGGCAGAGUGCCAGAGAGUAGCGUGCCGAGAGUGAGCCCUAAGCAAAAAGCUCUCCAGUUUUGAGAUUCAUGAUCAGCUGAUGAGGGGAACGGGUCUCUGUGGUGCUUUCAUUUUCCUUCUUCUUCGUGCUCCACCUGGGAUCUCCAGCCAGUCGUCUUCCCAUUCCAUUCUCCAUCACCCUCAUCCUUCUUGUCUCCCUUUCUAGUUUCGCCGUCGUCGGAGGUUUUGCUCGAUCCCUUAACCCUCUUUUAGACGAUGAAGCCGACGAGUCUCCUUCGCCCUGCUUCUUCCAUCUUCCUCCUUCUUCAUGCGCCCACUGCGAUCUCCAGCCAUCCAUCAUCCCCUUCCAUCCUCCCUCUCUCCUCUCGCCAUCGUCGUCGUCGUCGGUUUUCCUCGACCCCUCCUAACCUUAAUUUAGAUGACCCAAGCGAGGUCUUGAGUCACGUGAGGAAAAUUUGCAGGAAUGGUGGUGUGUUUUCGAGCGUCGGCGAUGCCCAGCGUUGCUUCGGUGCAUUGAUGAAGACGGACCCUUUGCCUUCCCCCC
RNAcentral lists this long non-coding RNA (70386 nucleotides) under Eucalyptus grandis. Its description in RNAcentral is "long non-coding RNA (EGRA_LNC000120)". Lineage: Eukaryota; Viridiplantae; Streptophyta; Magnoliopsida; Myrtales; Myrtaceae. The record is from RNAcentral.